UUUAGCAUCUCUGUCUCAACUUGACCUAAGAGAAUGCAAAAAACUUACUCAACUUCCAGACUCCAUAGGCUCCCUUGUGUCUCUAUCUUGGUUGUCAUUGUCGGGAUGCUGCUCGUUGAGACAAAUCCCAAACUCGAUCGGAAAGUUGACAUCAUUGACUAAGCUGCAUUUGAAAUCCACCGCCAUUGAAGAACUACCUGAAAGCAUCAGAAGUAUGCAGAACUUGAGGAUGUUGGACAUUUGUGAAACUCCUAUAAUAGAACUACUUGAUGACCGGGGAAUAUUGGCAGAACUCCAAGGGUUAAGAGCUUUAGGAUGGAAAAAUCUAGAAGGGCCAGCUAGUAAUAAUGGCCAGUUGGUUUCGCCAAACAAUCUUGAUUUAGAGAAGUAUCAAAAACUAUAUGAGCUGCGCUCUCGCGUACUAGCUCUAGGUAUCACUUACUAGAUUCCGCAAUCGUUGAAUCUUUCUCAACUAAACUUUCUCAAGAAACUCACUAUUUCUGAUUGACUUGAAUGCCUCCCAAACCUUUCUAUAACACUUUGUAGAAAGCUGUGAAACUUGAUUUUGUAUUUUCCAAAAGUCCAAGCUGUUAGUUAGGCAUUCUAUUUACUUUAUGUCUUUCGAUGCAGUUCUCUUAAAGCGUCCCAAGAGUCCUCCUGCCAGCAGCUCAUCCAUGGACUACCAAAUGGCAAAUUCUGAACAUGUUUUGAAGAGAUCAAGACCUUUUGGAAUCUCAUAUGAAGUACUUAUUUCAUCUUGCUUUUUAUUUAUCAUUCUUCAUUAGAGGAUGGCUCAAUCUACAAAGAGAAGUAUUUUACAGAGUGAUCUAUUAUCUGUUAUGUAUGGAAUGCUUUUCUCAACAUUCAUAACUAGAUCUCUUAGAGUUGUCACACGUACUUCUUGCUAUUUUAAGUCUUCUACUCAUGGAAGUGGGGAUUUUUGGUUUUCUUAAAUUAUAAAGUGAAGUUGGAUAAUAUCUCCUGUUCUUUUGCGUUUCUCUUUUUUAAUUAUCUUUUUUUGCAUGCCAUUGAUCGAAAACUUUCUGAAAGUGCUCUCACUUUUGUGCUAUUGCGGCAUAUGAUCAUGCAUUGAGAAUCUUUAGAAGUGUGGAAAGGGAUGGUGGUCAAUUUAUAAAUAUUGAUUGUGGAAAGGGAUGGUGGUCAAUUUAUAAAUAUGAGGGAAAGCCUCACCUUUUAAGUUAGCUUUUGGGGUGAGAUGAGCCCUAGACCACCCAACAAGAAGAAAAUUUUAGUUUUUCAGGUUCCUAGAUACCCUUAACUUUCAUGAUGUUAACCUAAUGAAAUAAUUGAGGAUUGGAAGGAUUAAUAGGAAGUUUGAUGGAGAGAUAAUGGAGCAAAGGGGCUAAGGUUGUCAAUUUGUGUUUGCUUGUCUUAAUUGUGUUUGUGACCAUGUCAAUUCAUCAUGACUUCUAUUAGACAUGUCAAAUCAUUGAAUUAGACAAAAACAUGUAAAUAUCUAAACAUGUGGUGAUGUGUCAUAUUGGGCUGUGUCUGUGUUUUUCGUAUUUGGUAUCGUCAUGUAAAUAGCCUAUGCCAAUAUUGGUAGCAUUAAUGAGGAGCGUGGACUAGGUAAGUGAUGAUUACAUCUUCUCCAUCAUGCAUUCAUUGUGCUUAGUAUGCUAAUAAAAGAGUAGUUCUCAUAUGAGUUUUGCAUCUUUUGAGUGUCAUGGUUUUGAUCUAUUCUCUAAAGGACUCACUGGUUUUGUAAUCUUUAUGACCUUCUAUUAGGUGAAAAAUUUGCCAAUAAACAUUCUACUUGACACAUACAACUACCAAAGCCUCGGUCAAAGUUCUUAUUCUUCAGAUGACUUGCCCAGAAAUGUAGUCAUUACCCUAAGUCAAGGUUCACUUGUUAAGAGUAUGGAUUUCCAUCCAGUGCAACAAAUUCUGUUGCUUGGUUAGCACUUCUUUCUUACUCUAUGAAGACCAUGUUUCUUGCUUAUCUUCAGUUGGGGAUAAGUACACUAGAAGUGUCAAAGUUAUGUACGACGUUCACUUUAGUACCAAUUUUUUUUUUUUAUCACUUAAGUGCCACUUUAAAAGAAAAAAACACACGAUCAUUUGAGUGUCAACUCCGAUUUGGAUCGUCAGAAAUCUGACGUGAUUAUAUUUUAUUAAUUUCUCAAUUCUACAUGGCUCAUCUGCAUGUCUCGUCAGCAUAUAAUCCUUAAAUGACGUCAUCCAAAAGUUAUAAAUAAUGAUCAUUUGAGUGCUAAAUUUUAUUUAAAGUGAUAAUUUGAGUGCCAAAUUUUGUUUAAAAUGAUCACUUUAAUGCUAGUUGUUAUGAAAAAGCAAUAACUUUACCAAGCACGCCACGUGGAAAUGCCACAUGGACUAGAGUUUUUAGAAAAUUUGCUAAGUCAUAUUAUAAAUUUAAUUAUAAAUGACGCAAAAUCAAUUUAGACGGAAUUUCUCAUCAUUGGCACUUAAAUGAUUGUUUUUUCCUCCGAUUUAGCACUUAUUUAAGUCAGCGAAAACUUUUGACACUAAAAUGAGCAUCGUAUAUAACUUUUGGCACUUCUAGUGUACUUAUCCUCUUUAGUUGGAUAUACUUAUUCCCCUUGUAGGCCAUAAGUUUGUGCUUUGGUAUUUGGAAGAUUGCUUUUCAUUGUCCUUUUGACGCUUGCUUUAACUAUUUGAAUCCACGGGAUAUGACUCUUCAAAUUUUCUGCAUCAAUAAUUUUUAGUGGGAACAAAUGUGGGUGAUGUCAUGAUAUGGGAAGUAGACAGUGGUGCAAGGAUUGCUGUGAGAAAAUUCAAGGUUUGGGAUAUGGGAACAUGUUCAAUGGCACUGCAGGUAUAGAAGUUCAAUUCUAAAUAAAAUAAUGGUGUCUUGUUUUUGGACAUGUGAUUAUGGGUUUUGAUUUUUUGUAGGCUUCUCUGGCCAAUGACUACACAACAUCCGUUAACCAUGUAAUGUGGAGUCCUGAUGGAAUCCUUUUCGGUAUGUAUAGAUGUUAGUUUUACUUCUAUAUCAACUUAAGUAAUUAGGCAAUACAUGCUUGCAAAUUGGUGAAAAAACUAAAGCGCCAAGAACUAGACUUCAUUGCAAUAUCUUCAAGAAGAAGAGUUCAUAUGCUACUACUACUGAUGAUUGGUGGUGUUCACUUUAGGUGUUGCUUAUUCCAAACACAUGGUGCACAUAUACUCACAUCAUGGUGGUGAUGACAUAAGGAAUCACCUUGAGGUUUGUUGCCAAACAAGGAGAAAAAAAUUAAGCUUCUCUGUUCUUGUGACAAUUGCCACCUAAAUGUGAGUUCAACUUGAUUUUUGACUCUAAUCUAAUGUCCGAUACAGCUCGAGGCUCAUGUUGGAAGUGUAAAUGAUCUUGCCUUUUCAUGUCCAAACAAACAAUUAUGUGUUGUGACCUGUGGAGAGGACAGGUUGAUCAAGGUAUAUUCUUAUUAUUUUCCUUAGUGUUACAAUGUUCCAUUGUUUGAUCCUUUUUAACCAAACUAGUAGUUAGGCAGGUAUGGGAUGCAGUGAGUGGGGCUAAGCAACUGACUUUCGAGGGUCAUGAAGCACCCGUAUAUUCCAUUUUUCCACACAACAGAGAAAAUAUUCAGGUACUUGGCUAUUUCGUGUACUAACAAGGACACGCUGCAAGCAUGGCCAAUCGGCUCUACGCUUGACCAUUCAUUGGACUUUGUUUGCUAAAACUCGGUUAGGUCAAAAAAUUUGGUUGAAUUUGUAUAAGAAGUGUGAAUCUAUGUUUUAAUGGACCUUGUUCAUUUCAAGGAUUUUGCAAGUCUUCUAACUUUUGACCUAUCUUGAUUAGAAUGUGCUUGUUAAACAUGGUGGCAUGGUUCAAAGAUUAAACUACAAAUUUGAUUAUUUUAGACAAUGCUACUAAGCAUCAACAAUUGGGUAAAAGUCUUCGCAAUAAUGACUUCCUUCUUGAUAUAAGUUCAGAAGGAAAUUUGCUCUGCUUCCAUUAUUGUUCUCCCUCAGUUUCUCCUCUAGUUUUGAUUGUUUAAAUUAAUAAUAGAUUGCUAUUUAUUGUGCCUGGGUGAAGCAGCAAUUGGGGAUGACUUUUUAAUUUUUUUCAAAAAAUUUAUGGUUGUGUACACUAUUAUAAAGAUAUUUUAUGAAAUCUAUUAGAGUUUUAGGUGGAUGUGCUCUAUCUAGACAUGUUAUUGAAAUUGAUGGUAGGAUUGUUUUAUUGUGUAGUUCAUCUUCUCAACAGCAACAGAUGGGAAAAUUAAGGCUUGGUUUUAUGACAACAUGGGGUCAAGAGUUGACUUUGAUGCACCGGGUCACUCUUUUACCAAGAUGGCAUACAGCGCUGAUGGAACAAGGUUUAGACUAUCAGCAUUGCAUUUCAAGCUUGAUUUUAUCCUAUGUCACCCUUUCUAACUUAGAUAACCUAUUUUAGCAAUUUUAUUUGGCUAUAGGUUGUUCUUAUGUGGAACCAACAAAGAAGGAGAGUCAUACUUGGUUGAAUGGAAUGAAAGUGAGGGGGCUAUCAAGCGUACCUAUCAUGGACUUGGAAAGAGAUCUAGUGGGUUCGUGCAGUUUGAUACUGCCAAAAAUAGAUUUUUGGCUGUUGGAGACGAGUCCAUGGUCAAAUUUUGGGAUAUGGACAAUAAUGAUAUUUUGACAAGUAUUGAUGCCGACAGUGAAUUGCCCGGUAAUUCAUUAUUGUUAAUUUAAUAUGAUUGAAUUAGCUGAACCUUUCCAUUAAACUCGCUCUUUAAAUUUGCAGGCUUCACCUUGUAUUAGAUUUAACAAGGAAGGAAUUCUAUUAGCAAUCUCAACAAGUGACAAUAGUAUCAAAAUUUUAGCAAAUGCUGAUGGGAUUAGCUUGCUAAGGACAAUGGACAAUUGGCCUUUUGAUGCUUCUAGAAUCACUCCUAGCCCUCUUAUGAAGGUAAGAUUUUUCAAGAGCACACUGACUUCAUAGAGAUGAGCUCACUAAAUGUCUUCAAUUUUGUAUUGCAACCAACAAUUGCGAUAUUUAGUUCUGGUAAUGCUACUAUUGGGGCAAACCAGGUAAUAGAGGGGUUCCAGUGGCAGAAUUAAAAUGUUUGAUCCCAUUUCUUGAUGUGCAUUUGGAAGAGAAGUCUAGAAAGAUAUUUUAAAAAAAAAAAUUGGUAGGAUUAUCUAAAGUUUUGUGUAGAAAAAUUAUUAAAAAUUAUCUCUACAGCAUGGCAGAGAUACUUGCCUUAAAAAUAUCUCUGACUCAAGCAAAGAUUUUUGCAUGUCUUAGUUGUUGAUGCAAGCCUAUAAAAAAGGCUUAGGGUCGUCCAAAAGCAAAUACAUUUGGGUCUCUAUUUUUUUAUUCUAAAAAUAGAUUUGAAAUAAAAUUGGUUUGCUAAUAUAAUUUUAUUUUUUAUUUCCCAAAAAAAAAAAUUUAGUUCAUAAAUAGACUUAGAAUAUAAAUAAUAAAUAUUUUUUUUUACAUUUCUAGAAUAAAAACAAAAAUAAAAACGUUUCUCUUUACUUGCCCGCGUCAUAUGCAACCAUCAUGUGCUAACCACCUGCCUCCCCGUCACUCUCCACCAAUUGAUAGUCGACACUUAGAAAUUAUUUUUGCUUCGUUUCUCUUUCAUGGAUUAAAAAUAGAAAAAUUUAUUUGUGACUAGAAUUUAGUUACAGAAACAAAAUAGUUGUCGUUCGUGCCAUAAUACACCAACUAAAAUAAACCUCCCUGCCUUCGUUUGUACUAUGCGUUGGAUAAUAAAAGCCUUUAUAUAUAUAUAUCAUUGUGCUCCCUUGCUGCCACUUUCAGAAAUCCUUGUCCUAUUAUAUUACAUCAGCAGCAACUGUGACUUGCGGAGCAUUUUUUUCCUCACAUCCAUCCAGUCAUAUUUUAACACAUCUCUGUGGAUUUUGAAUUAAAAAUAAAAUUCCUUUGAUGAUCCACCGGCUAUGGACCUCGGACUAGCCGGCUGCCACCCUUGAACACCACCGCUCUGGAGGCCGAGCUCCAAAUCUAGCCGAGUCGUGGCCUCGGCGCUGCACCAGAUCUAGUCCACCUUCACUUGCUUCAAGCUCGUCCAUGGCCGCCUCCGAAUCCAGUCGAGCUCGACUCUACGCUAGAUAUCGUCUGCCUUAAAAACGGUUCGAGCUCGGCGGCUCCUCCAUGACCGCCGAGAAGCCGCCGAGAUUUCGGUCACAACGUCGAGCUUGGCAGCCAUAGAAGGCCAUCGCCUCCAGAUGUAGAGGCUCAAUGGCAAUGGAGGCCGAGCGUCCAGAUCUGGCCGUGGCGAAGGUCGUGACAUCACCUCGAGCUGCAGCAAUGACCGCCGUUAGAGGUCGCCUUAAGAGACGGCGUUAAAAGUUGCAGACGGCCAUGGACAGAGCGCGUAACAAGAAAGGAGACAAAAAAAAAAAUAGAAAAUAUAAGAAGCAAAGAAUGGUGGGGAACAAUAAGAAAAAGAAACUUCUUUUCCAACUUUUCAACAGCAUCACGGGAUGAGCCACGCCGACGACCAUGGACGGCCAGAUCUCGAGAGCCAACAGUGUCGCCGGCCAUGGCGGAGCAAGGUUCGUGUGUGAUGCCGACGGCCAUGGACGGCCAAAUUUGGAGAGCCAGCGGCCUCACUCGUCUAGGUGACGCCCAUGGCCAUGGUCGGCCAGAUCUGAAGAGCCAGCAGCGUCACCGACGCAUCAUCGGCCAUGCCAGCUCGUCCGAGGUCAAGUGGCUGGCUUUGGACGAACGAGGAAGAUGAGGCUAGAGGAAACAGUUCCACCGCACAAAGAAACUCCACAUCAAUAUUUUUUAAUUUAAUUCAAGACAUGUAAAUUUUUAAGUAGAUAUCAAGGAAAAAAUCUCGCCACAUCAGCAGUUAACACGGCGCUUUGAAACUACCAAAUAUUGUCUCCUUUGCUCCUCGCACAUCUGCACGCACUGGCAUAUAAACUAGAAAACCAUCAGGCGGAAAUGGUAGGUAUGGGAAGUGGUAUCAUCACUGCAUUAGGUAGUUAAAUGUUUUUAACGAGCUUUAUUCGUUGCUUAUUUUAUUACUUAAAUGAUGCAAUAAUUGCAUUUGUGUGUGCAUGUUUAUUGGGCGUCUUUCAAUGACAUCCUCUCUUUUGAGCUCUACAGGACAGUGAGAGCAUGGCCGAUGUGAAGCCUGGAAUUGCUGAUAACUCAGGAGACAAAUUAAGAAAUUGGAAACCGACAGAAAUCAAUGAACCAUCACAAUGCCGGUCCAUAAGGCUGCCUGAUAACUCUACGGCUAUGAGGGUAAAUGAUUGCCAGAUUAGGACGUUCUUAUGCAGCAUUUUUAUUUCCACAUUAAUCUGUCAUGUUUCUACUCGAUAAGCACAAAUUUGAAUAGGGGUCACAUUUAAUGCACCUGCUUUAUUAGUUUUAUUCACAUGUAGUCCAAUGAUUUAUCUCUUAAACGUUGGCACUCAAGGACUUUUGACAUAUCUUCAUUUGGCAUUUUAUAGUUGACUGAUUGUUUCAACUAUACAAACAGGAAAGGAUAAGAUCAACAAUAAUAAAUCUGUGAUUAUGGUGUGGCAAUUAUGCUUGAGGCUGUGGAGGUCAUGAAUUUUAUGAUAAUGCUGAAUAGCAAGACGGAUGAUUCUUGAUUUAGAAUGUAAUGGUAUAUUUGCAUAACGAGACUUUUUUAGCCUUUGCUUGGUAUAUGGAUUGUUCUGUGGACUCUCAUGCAGUUACAUGUGGUAAAAGACACAGAUUCUUCACGGGAUAAAUUUGGCUUUAUACAUGGCAAGCAAAGUAAAUCAUCUUGCACCACUUUGAUGCUUGUGGGGGAUGCUAAGCUUUUGAAAGCUAUUUUGAACUUGUCAGUUCCCAGAAACUUUGAGUGGAAAUUUACCUGCUGAAUCUAAAUAUACAAAACACUAGAGGCAAAAGAAUAGAUAGACAGCUAGACGGUUUAAGUCAAGGUUCUAUUUUUCUUUUGGUAACUGUUUGAACUGGGUUUAGAUCUCAUGUGUAUCAUAUGCUCUAUUCAUACGUAAGCAUACAGUGCGUAUAUAUAAAUAUGUGCGUGCGCGCGUCCGCCUAUGCUGAUAAAUUUGCAGGCAGCGUCACCAAGUGUCUAUUUGCCUGGAUUUCUACAUCUAUCAAUUAGUGCCCAAUUCUCUGGCAUCUUUCUUCUGCAUUUUAUUUUAACUUUCGGUAUUACAUUUGAUUGUCGCCACUGAAGCUGGUAAAACGAUACAGGUCCCGAAAUUAAGCUAUACAAACUUGGGUCGUGCCAUUCUGGCAUUAUCAUCGAACGCUGUACACAAGCUCUGGAAAUGGGAAGAAAGUGAUCAAAACUUCACGGGCAGGGUAAGGAAUCUCCCCAACACCACCUCCCAAAAAAAGAGGCAAAUUCUUUUGUUGUUUAGCCUAUUGUUAACUCCAUUGAUUCUUCUUUUCGCAGGCUACAACCAGUGUAGUACCACAGUUAUGGCAACCGCUUGGUGGGAAUUUGAUGACCGAUGAUACAUGUGCAAAUCCUGAAGACGCAGUUCCGUGCUUUGCACUGUCAAAGGACGAUUGUUUUCUAAUAUCGGCAUCAGGGGGGGAGAUCUCUUUGAUCAAUAUGAUGAUUUUUCAGGUGAAUAUAUUCCCGAAGUAAUGUCUACAUCCUCUUGUCAGUUUUGUAGCACUAUCCACGAGGCACGAGAUAACGAACUACCCCUUUGUGCUGAAUAGGCGUGCACUAUUUCCUUUUCACAUUUUUAAGGGAGCUAAAAUUAAUUGGUUCCAUCACGUAUACAAACGUAUUGAGCUCUAAUUAUUAGGAGGUCCAUGAAAGCAAUUGCUCCGAUUUUCAUGGGGAUUAUCUGUUCAAAAGUACAGCAUGUCCCUUUUUACUUGCUAAGCAAGAUAGGGGCUUUUCUGUGUCUUCGAUGGAAUCUUUUUGCUCUUAUUGAUUAAAGAAAACAAGCAGUGCUUUUUUAACCCGUGCAGAGAUCUAUUGGUCCAACUUGCUCUCUCCCUUUCCUAAGAGGGGAGAUGCCACUAAGUUAAGUGCCUCUUGGCACAUGUGUCCCACUAUUAUGUAUAAAAUUGUUAAUAUUAUCCUGCCUGUUGAUACACAGAGGUUCACAAAAUUUACGCCCCCGCUACCACCAAACAGUGACAUUAUUGAAAUAGGAAUGGAGGACACCGCGAUUCAACUUUACAGUGGUCGAGUUGAUGAGGUGAGAUUUGUUUUCAUUGUCGUUGAAAGUUAACCUUGUGAUUAUUCACAACAAAGUUAUAGAUAUUGACUACUGACUAUCUCACUUUCUCAGAUCGAGAAAAAAUUAAAAGGACAUCGGAGAAUAAUUGAAGGCUUUACCUUCUCAACUUCCUUAAAUGUUCUCGUGUCUUCUAGUGCUGAUUCUCAGGUGACCACUGCCUUUUUACUUACUAAGUGAGACAAGGGCUUUUCUUUGUCUUCAAUGUAAUCUUUUUGCUCUUACUGAUUAAAUAAAACAAGGCAAGAGCUUUAAUCCAACAUUCCAGAAAUCUAAUAUGAAGUUGCUCUCUCCCUUUCUCUAGAAGGGUGAUGCCAUUGAGGCAAGUGCCUCUUGGCACAUAUGUCCCACUGUUACUUAUAAAGUUAUUGAUACUAUUCUGCCUGCCAAUAUCCAGAUGAUGAUAACAUUUUCGUCCCAUCCACCAUCCCCAACAUUUCUGGUGUUCGAUCCUCAAGAUAAUUCAACCAUUGCAAUAGGAAUGGAGGACGACUCUAUUCAAAUUUGUUGUAUUCCACUUUGCGAGGUGAGACCUAAUUAUAUUGUUGUUGAAAGUUAACCUUGUUAUUAUCCGCAAUGAAUAUAUGGAUAUUGACUGUUUCACUUUCUCAGUGGCUGGCAACUCUAAAAGGACAUCAGAAAAGAAUUACAGGCCUUGCCUUCUCUAAUGUCUUAAAUGUUCUCGUCUCUUCUGGUGCUGACUCUCAGGUACAAGACCACUGCCUCAUCUUCCUUUCCAUAUAGGCAUGCCUAUGUUUUGGGCAAAGAGAGCAAUGUAGUUUAACUUGCUCCAAAAAAAAAAAAAAAGGGUUGAUGUUCACUCUGUAUCUAUUGAUGCUUGCGCCCUCAUCAUAUGUAAGUUCAUGAAGGCAUCCUUAAAUAGGCAGAAUAAUUCCUUCCAAAAAACUUCUUUUGUGGUGACAAAUUAAUCCCAUCCCACAAGGUGGGAAAUAACAAAGCCAUGCUGUCCUGUUGUUGCGUACAACUGAUGCUCGGUGUUAUUCUGAUAUAAAACUACAACGUAAAAUUUUAUUGUUUCGUUCGUCAAUCAAUGUUGAUGUUCCUUAUGAUAAUUGUCGAUUGUCACUGCAGUUGUGUGUUUGGAACACUGGUAGAUGGACGAAGCAGACUAGUAAGUUUCUGCAGAUGCCGAAUGGGCGAGGAGCAGCGCCUCUUGCUGAUACUCGUGUUCAAUUUCAUGUGGAUCAAAUACAUCUGCUAGUUGUUCAUCAAACACAGAUCGCCACAUGUGAAGCUCCUAAACUAGAACGCCUCAAGCAGGUAUUGAAGAUUUUUUUUUUAUUGUGCAUGAUCCAAUCUCUCCUCUCAUCUUGAUUGCAUAAAAAUUAUCUAAAUAUUAGGUAGUAUGAGUUGCUUCAUGCCACAUGUACUUUUUUUGAUUCGUUGUUGAUCGCAACUAGUGGGACACUCGAGAAGCUAGUGCUCCAAUCACAGAUGCUACAUGCUACAUAUUCAUGCAAUGGCCAAUCAAUAUUUGUGAGCUUUGAAGAUGGGAGCAUCAGUGUUCUUUCUGCUUCUACACUCAGAUUGAUUUGUUGUAUUAAUCCUGCUGCUUACAUCCUUCCAAAACCUAGGUAAGUUGGUUAUUGCUGCUCACAUAACCUCAUUCCUUUAUGGAAAAUGGCAAGUCUCAUUUACGAAGUUCCAUAGUCUCGCGAAUUACUCAUUCCUCACUGAUGUAUUUGGCAGCUUGAGAGUCUACCCACUAGUCAUCACAGCACAUCCAUCGGAACCUAACCAGUUUGCGCUAGGGCUUACUGAUGGCAGCGUCUAUGUGCUUGAGCCUUUGGAAUCCGAAGGAGGGUGGGGUGGUUCUCCUCGUGUUGAAAAUGGUGUUGGCCCUAGCACGACCUCUGGCGCAACUGAUUUAGAUCAACCCCAAAGGUAGUGCAGGCCAUGUCUCUCCCUAUGAAACUUUUGAGCAUUACAAUGCUAAGCCGGCUUUCCUCUGCCAUACUUGAUUCAAGUUUUGAGGGGAUGCUGCUGAGGGUAGAUUUUACUGCCUCGGGGUACUUUCUUGCGACAUAGUUCAGUACGGUUUGUCCUAAUCGACUUCUGCUUGAGUCUUGUGGUGAUAACUUGUUUUGUUAUAUUCAUUUAGGCUGACUGGAAGUGAAAAAAGAAAAACUUGAGGUUGGAGUGUUGUUUUGAAUACAACAAAUUGGAGGUAGAGAGGAUACCUCACUUCCUACACAACUGAAAGUCUACGGACUUGAUUACAUUAGUUAGUUAACUAAUGCCUUUUCAGUAUCUAAACUUAAUUAAUUUUUAAACUAAGUGUCCAUGCAAUCUUUGACCAUUUUAUUAACCUAUGUUACUAAAUGACGUCCAUGUAUGAGUGCACAAUCAAUUAAAAAGUAAACAAUUACAAUCAAUAUGAUAGAAGUAAAUUAGAAGAAAGUAGACCCAAUGGAGUGUCAAGCAAAGAAUCACAUGGCUUUGUUAUUAAGCCUCUGGACAGCAACAUGUGCUGAAUUCAAAUUUAGUCCAAUUCAUCAGAAGAGUGCUAAACCUAAAUUAAAUUAAAGUUACUUAUCAAAAACCCCCCUAAACUAUAUGUAUACUAACUAAAGAAACUAAGCUAGAUCUAGCAUCACAAUUUAACGACCUUAUCAAGGUCUCUAUUUCUAGCUAUUUUCAAUUUUUCAUUUUUUAUGAAUAUUUUGAAAUUAAUUCUGAUCAUUUUCUGAAAAUAGGGACCCGAGCUCCGGCUAUGAGCCGCACGCUAGUCUCACGAAUCUGGGAUGAUAACUAAUAAGCACAAUUCGGGCUCUUAUGUUGAGCCCCCUCUAAUUUUAACUUUACUGAGCCCAAUUCUGAUUAUACCUAUUCUAAGCCCACUACCCAUCGUAACUACUCUAGCCCAUUUUCUCUUCCAACUUCACCUGGUCCAUUUUUAAGCCCGAUUUCUAUUAUAGAUAGAUGAAACCCUAAGCCCACUCUAAACCCAUCUCAUUAUUAUAUUUAAAUCAAUUUUGCUCUUUUCUUACAUCUUUUCGUCAUUAUUAUUAUUUUCUUCUUCCUUCUUCCAGGCCUUCGUCCUCUUGAACAAGUCAAGAAUCUAAUAAGCCAAUUUCUCACGGAUGAACUCCAUAGAGACUUCACAAAAACAUAUGUAAAAUUAUGAUAUGAAAACACAAGAAAAAUUUAUGUUCUGAUUUGGUAUUGAUAACAAUGAAUUUUAAUAGGAAUUAAAUCCGAAUGUUAAUGGACUGACUUGUAGCAAGUAAUGUAUGCUAAAAUUUCUUCAGAUUGAACUAGAUCAGGAAUUAUUUCACCGACGUACCUUAAAAACAUUUCAUUAGACAGUCUAUGUGCACCAAAAGGAUUGAUCCCGUUUGGUUCGGCUUUUGGGGGAAUGUCCUUGGGGAAAUACAAAUGUCUUUAGUCUAAAGGGGUUUGGCGAAAUGCAAAUACUAUUUUGGCAUUUAGAUAAGCCUUUUUUUUUCAUGAGGCAGAAUGCAUCUACUUCUAUUACAAGUGGGACAGGUGGGAUUUCACCCAUUGCAACUUAAGGUAAGUGAAGAAAAGGUUUCCUGUGGAAAACCUUUAGGCCUCCAACACCUAUUUUUACUUUAGUGACAAUAUUGAAUUGGAGAAGGGAAAAUCAGAUGAUACGUCCAUGUAUCUCUUCCCGUAAGAGCUUAUAUAAACUAAACAUAUUCAAGAUUAAUAAAAAAAUGACGCAACCUACAAGCAAUAAGACGCCUAAAAAUCCUUAGGCUCCGGAUAAGUAAAUUUUUGUCAUGAGCGUAACAGCUAUCAUCCAGUAACUGUUCUCUUACCAGAAGCCACAUGGUAUUACUGUUGUAGUUAUGUUCAUCCACAUGCUAUGAUAAACCUCGCUGGUGAAAGAGGACGAUCCAUUUCAAAUAAGAAAGAAAUAUAACCAUCUUCUUAUGCUACAUAAUCGUCAAUGUAACCAGAGCUACUGGCCUACAUACCCGCUAAAUCCCAUAUUGAAACUUAACCAAGAUUAAACCAUCCGACGAGAAAACAUUACAGCGAAAGCGACCUCAGAAUCCAUGUUGCGCCUCGACCUAAUAACAUGCUACGAUCUCUCACCAAAUUAGAACAUGCCACUCUAGCCAUAAGAUAUUCAAUUACUCACACAAAUUUCCACAGAAAUUGCAACAUUAAUUGAGAAAAUCUGACCUGGAUAGAAGCGAGCGCGAGCACGACAGGAAAGCUUGAGGGCAGCGAGCAUAAAGGAGUGAAGGAGUGUUGCGAGGAAGAGAACUCAAACCCCUGCCAACCAUGAGGGAACGUUGCUUCAAGCACGAAAGGGGAAGUCGUCAAGGUACGAGAAAGGCGAGUGAACGUGAGGGUCGGACACAAAACAAUCGUGAGGUAGAGAGAGGCGUGAGAGCGUAAGAAGAGUAAUGCCCGCGGCCCUCGCGAGUAAUCUCGUGCGGAAUCUUCAACGGCGACUGCAAAAUUGGACGAAUGAGCAAUGGAAUUGAAGUUUCCAAGCUUACCCAAUUGCCCUGCUACGAGCGCGACGCGAGCGUGAGAGCAGAACGGCGAGAGGCGAUCUUCGAGGUUGGGAUGGCUGAUCUCGGAUGGACACCGGAGAGCAGCUCGCAUAGGAGACGGUGAGGGACGACGGAGAGAGGCGCGAGAGUGUAGAGGAGGCGUAAGGCUAUAGAAAGCGUGAGGCUACAGUAAGGAAAACGAGGCUUAGGUUUUUCUAUUUAGAAAAGGGUAAAAACGGAUUUUGGUUAAUAAAUGUGGACAAAAUGAGCAACUAACAUAUUUUCAUUAAACAAAGGAAGUUGCAUUCCGAAAAUGCUACUUUUUAAAUGCACCUCUACCCCUCCAUUCCCCCAAAGGCCUUUGAAGCCCUUUGGAGAUGCAAUUGCAUCUUCCCAAAGUUCUCAAAAAAUUGAACCAAACAUCACCUGCAUUUAUCCAAACCCCUUCAGAGCCCCAAAGCCCAUUCCAAAUGCUGAACCAAACGGGGCCUGAAUCUGGUCAUAAAUCGAAGUUUUGUUUUCGUCUAAAAUUAGUGUCAGAACCAUGAAGCCAUUACAAAUCAUCAAAUUACAGCCUAGAUCAUCAGUGAUUUUCACAUUAGUAAGCCGAACGUGGUCCAGUCAUGCAUCUUUCCAAAAUAGGGCAAGAAAGAGGGGAAUGAAAUUAUCUUCUCAAGGAGUUCUCGGUUGAGAACUAAGGGCUAAUGAACAAACUAAGGGCUAGAAAUGGUUUAGUUUCUGGGCAUUUAUGCGUCCGAGUAAUGCAAGUUGGACUUAAUAGAUGUGGAUGGGCCAUGGGCUUGGCUUGGACGAAUUGGAUCGAGCCCAUCGCAUUGAAUGGACAUCCUUUAAAAUUAGUUGAUGAAUUGAAGUCUCUUCAGUUAUUAUUUUUCGCAAUCUUCAUUUUGGUUUUAUUUAUUCAUAUCUUUGACAUAAACCGCCUAAAUUGCCGAUUUUCCUUAAAUUGUUGACUAAAAAUCAAAUAUCCACAGCAGGUCCAAGACCUCCAAAUUGACUGAACCAGUUUCUUGAAAGUUGUUGUAAUCUUGAAGGUGCUACAAUUGAGAAAUGUUCGACAAACCCCUCACAGAAGCCACAAUGCCCAUUUUUCAUAGUCCAAGUAACUCCUAACAUUAAUUAUUGAUACUCUUUUCAAAAUAAUUCAUAUAUUUUUAGACAGUCAUAAUAUGAACGAUUUUUUUUAGCAUUUUCUAUAAGAGUCGAAUUGUUAAUUCGAAACUUUCACGCAAAGAAUUAUAUGGUAAAGUACUUAUUAGAGUUAUAAUAAGUCAGAAUAUAACAAAAUGUCAAUCGAAGUGCUUAAUCAUGAAAGAGAAGAAGCGAUACCAAUAUCAAAAACCAAAGAGCUGUUGGCAGAAUCAAAAUUUCCUUCUCUCCUGUUAGUGUAUAUUUAGUUCCGAAAAGAAUAAAUAUAAAUGUAUGUUUAUUUUGUCACAUAGUAAGUAUUACUUUCAAGAGUGCUUUGAUUUGAUAGGUGGAACCAUAACAACUAAACUGGGUAAGGUCUUUCUUUAAUUUUCGUCGUACCUGACAUUGAGAAAUGCUGUGGACAGUAGCUCUCCAUCCUUACGAUGAAUGUCAAUACAACGAAAAUAAUUAACCACUUUUAAGCCAUUCUCAAUUACUUGCAAGCAUCUGCACACAAAGUGAAACCUGCUUAUUUCCGUCUUCGACUGGGCUUCUUACUCUUUCUAGCUGGGGUCGACUGCUCCUAAGGCACUGGUAAUAGGGUUCCUCCUGUAACGCCAUCUUUAUCAUUCAUCUUGUCAAAAGUUUUCUGGGCGCCAAUAUACACCUUAAGGUCUCUGAUCUGUGAAGGAUGACGAGGGACAUGCCACUGUCAACGCACACUAUGCACGCACGCGCAGAGUUUUCACAAUAUUAUAUACAAAUUAUUACAGUUUUAAGGCUAAAAGAAAAUAACUGUUCUUCUAAGUCAAGUAUUUGUUCAUCCUUCAACUUCAGUGACAGAGUUUUCCUGCAGAUGCACAGAAGCGCAUGUGUCCUCCAUUCAUGUCAAAUUAAUAGGGAAGACUAAAUUCCUGACAGCUUUAAUUGACUGGAAUCAUAUACUGAAAAAGUGUCGGUACAAUUGACAAUAAUACUUAUUGAGGAAACUAGCCCACGUAACUUCAAUGAAGAUGGACAAGACGAGUAUACUUCAAAACGCUGCAUGAAUUUCUCUAUAAAGAAAAUGUUGUAGGCAUAUUAAGGUACUUAAAAGGCAUCUACACCUAUAUUGCUUGACAUGUGAAGCUCAUAUAAGCUUUAAGUCUACCCAGUGUAUCUUCUUUUCCUUUUAUUUUCUAUUUUGUGAAAGUUGGAAAUGUCAACAUAACGCAGUAUGAACAACCAAUCGAAUUUCAAUUGGAAUUAGUAGAAUUUCAAUAUUGAACCGUAUCAAUUAAAAUUUGAAUCCUGAACCAUCACAUCCUGAACCAUCACAAAAUAAUGUUCAAAUAUCUCCAGUGUGUAAAAAAGUACUUUGAAAUUGGACCACCACCACGAAGAUUUUAACAUUGAUUUCUGUCGAUAAAGUUCAACCUCUAAAGCAGUAGCACUAUUUCUUCAGAGGAAAACAAAAUUACAGAUGGAGCAUAUAUAAACAAAAGAACAAAAUUAUGGAGAGCACUGACACGUGGAACUUUCUCAAUACGUGCUGCGUUCUCUCCUUUCUCCUUUUCCCCUUUUUGUCUCUUUCUUUCCCUCGUUAGAGUUUGUCCCAUCUUGCCACUUUUUAAAAAGAAUUCAAUAAAUAAAUAAAAAACACCAAAAGCUUUUUCAUCUCCUUGCCACAUCCUCCAACUAAUAAUUAACUCAAACUUAAUUAUCCUUCCCAAGUAUGGUGAAAGGAAGGCAUAUUAACCGUGUGAUAAACUCUGACUCAUCAUAAAAUGACUUUCGUUCUUUUGCCAUUUGUUAUGUGUCACAAGUCACGUAUAGUUGCUAUUCACAUAUUUGAAUUAGAAACUGUAUUUCCUCUUUCUUCCUCGAACUUUAACCUUUUUUACCUCACAUCUAAAAGUCCAUGCCAUGUGAACACUUCCUCGUCAUGAUACCCUUCCCACUUUUUUCUCAUCUUCUCAAAUGUCUGUUUCCACUUCCUCUCUGACGACCAACCUCACUUACAUGAACUAUUACUACAAUGCUGCUUCAUUUUACUGAUUAGUUUUAUGAGACUAUGCAUGCUAUGGUAUUACUUGUCUAGAGAAAUCAGCAACGAAAAAUACCUCUCUUCAAUUUCCUUAACCUUUCUCCGCAUCAUAUCUUGGUUCUUGAUAAGAGUUUGAUUAAGCUGCAACCACAAGGAACGGCAUCCAUUACUGGUAUGAACGAGUGAAAACUAUUGCAUCUGAUUGUAAUAUGAAAAAUGAGGCAUGUGAAAAACAAGAACAAUCAGCCUUGGCUUCAGUCAGCCCUCCUCUCAAACUUUAAACAUCCAAAAUCACAAAAGGUAAAACAGAGAAGAUUAAAGCCUUACCUCUGCCAUGGCCUUCUUUUCGUCACCAAGUUUCCCCAACUUACUAUGGAUCUCUUCAAUCUUUGCAGUCACACCUUUCUUGAUUGCUUCUAGUUUGGAAUUUUCUUUUCUACUUUUGGCUUCUAACAUGAGAGACUCAUAAUGCUAACAGAGAAAAACAAAAGAACUAAUAGGGGAUGAUAUGUUCAAGGACUUAAAAUGUAUUCUUUAAAGUCAGUCUAAGGAUGAUGGCAGUCUAUGUAACAAAAAUGACAAACAUGGGUUAGAAACGGAACACUAUCACCAACAGCAGCAUGGGCAGUUUAUAUAUAAUCUACUGGCUUUUGUACUUCUACUUCUGAUACAACAGGUUUUCAAUUCAGAUACUGUUCCUUCUAGGACUAUCCAUAAAAAAAAAGCCAAUAAUAAAAGAGUCCUGGCACCUUAGGGAAACGCAAUUCAUUUUCUACCACAGAUAUAUUAGUAAGAAAACAAAAAAGAAAAGAAGAAUACCAGAAGUUUUGCAAUUCUCUCAAGCUGAUGCAAGGCCACUAGUUCUUUUAUACUUCCUAUAUAAGCUCAUUAGACAAAUGCAGUAUGCAAAUCGACAGGUAUAAAAUGUUGUACACUAUAUAAAAGCAAAUGAAGCUGAGAUCAUACAACACGAGUGUAAUUACUUUCCUUCUCUUCACAACAAUUCUGACAAUCCCAUUGAUUUCCAAGAGUAAAAUGAGUUCACUUAAGGAAAAAAAAAAAAGAGAAAGAAAAAAGAAAAUUGAGAAACAUUUUUUGAUCUGAAAUAACUAAACUAAUGUUCUAUUAUGGUUUUCUCCUAAAAUAUGUGUACUUAAAAACCAUUACCUAAAGCAAAAGCACAAUCAACGCAAGCUUUCACAAGUAAUGCUUAUAACCAUGGCUGAUCAGUCAGUAUAAUAAAAUGCGAAAGACUAAACAUGGAGAAUUGAAAUGGUCUUGGUAUACGCAUGCUUACUUUUCUUUGCACUUCCAGCUGAUUUGAAGCUAGAUGAAUAUAGUCAGCGUGAAUCUACAAAAAAGUAAAGCUACAGUGUCAGAGAAAAUGAAGAAAGUCUGACAAUUAUAAUGGAGGUAAUAUCCACUUUGCAGGCCCAAUAAUGAACUUGUGACAUUUGGCCAACAAAAUGAACAUGUGAAGUACAAAAACGGAAACCGAAUCUUUCAUUGUCAGUUGUCAGCACCUAAAACAGUAAAAGCAUCAUGCACCUCUAAACUUCAAACAUUCCACUUAACUGAGUCCAAGCUCCAAAUCUUUGCAGGGAAAGGAGAACCAGAAAACAAAAAUAUUCAAAGCAUAAAAAUAAGGACACAUGAACCUACUUCUUCGAUUUUGCUGCUGAAGAGCGCCCCACUAAUUUCAGAAUCCUCGCUGCAACCGCAGCUACCACAAUCUCCUUCAAGUGAUUCACAGUAUGAAUUCAUCUCCAAAAGCUUGCCAUCAGUUUUUGAUUUAUUAAGCCGGUGAACAUAAGUGUCCCCAACAUAAUCCCAAAUUUGCUGUGUUCUUAAAUCCAGAGAAUAGCAAUGUUGUGUAUCUUUCCAAUGGCUGAUGGCAUGCUUAUCUCUGUAUCUACAAAGCCAGAAAAGAAAAGCUAUAAUGAAGACAGCCUAUCCAAUCACUAAAACUAUAGAGUGAGCGAAGAUUCCAGCAUAUCAUGACUGAAUCUAUCACUUUCCACAUCCAACAAAACCACAUAUCAGACAAACCCAAAGAUUUUCCAUUGUUCCACAAAUAAAGCACCAUGGCACCUCAUCUUGCUGUUGGCAUAGACGGCAAACCUGAUAAAGAACAGAAACAGAAUCUUCUUCACAAUCUGUUAACAGACGGGCAUCCCUGAUGAUGUUGCAAAAUGAAACUACAUUUCCGAUCAAGGUAGUUUCUUGCAACCAAAUCAAGAUAUGUGCCGUAANNNNNNNNNNNNNNNNNNNNNNNNNNNNNNNNNNNNNNNNNNNNNNNNNNNNNNNNNNNNNNNNNNNNNNNNNNNNNNNNNNNNNNNNNNNNNNNNNNNNUCUUAGCUUCAGGACAGGAAUGUUUUGAGGUCAAAGAUCAGAAUUUUGAUGUCAGUAUGAUCACCCUGUACUUGUGAACAUACGCAUAACUUAUCGUGCAUGCUUGGCCACUGCUAUUACUUCUGUCACUCUUUGACUCAUGAGAAAUUUGAGAUAAGAGUGACAGGACCAUCGGAUUAAACACACGUGAUGAGACAUUGCAAAAAUUCUUGCGUCAGAACAUGAUAAUCAACAAAAAGUAACUCCAAGAAGCCAUACCAUUGACCUAUUCCAAAUCUCCAAAUAAAUGUCAUGAUAAUUUAAAAGAAAUCCUGAACUUAGUAAGCACAAUAGAGUAAAGGAAAAUUCUACUUUUCAUUCAUAUACUUUCACGCUUUUCUAAUCAUGUCUAUACUUUUAAUUUGCCUAAUUUAGUCCAUCUACUUUAACAAACUUUCCAAUCAAGUCUUUUGGACACUAAAAUAUGACCAAAUUCAACUGAAGUGGCUGUUCGAUGAUGACGAUAAAAUAUGCAGAUGCCCACAUGGACACGUCUGGAAAAAUUUAGCCAAUGUAGAUAACCUCGAAGUGCAACAUGGAUAAAAUAAUGGACAUCCGAGUCACACAACAGAGACAUCUGACGGUCACACCGGCUGAAUUUGGCCUGAUUUGGUGUCAGAGACAUUUGAUUAGAAAAUCUGUAAAAGUAGAAGGACUUUAUUUAACAAAUUAAAAGUACAAGGGACUUGAUUAGAAAAUAUGUGAAAGUUCAGGAUUAAAACAAUACUGCCACAAUUGCUAUAGCUAAUAUUAAUUAUCAAAAAGCAACAACUAAUCCACAGUCAGCAGAUCAACAGAAAGAUAGUGGCAGUAGCUGCGAAAUUACAUUAUAAAUUCAUCUAAUCUGUAGCAGCAGAAGAAUGUCUAACCUGACAAGACAAGUAAGUCCAUUUUGUACCACAUGAGCAAUGAAAGGAAUGGUCACACUGCAUACUCAAAAUUCCGCUGGUAUCUGGGUCCAAUCUCUCUGACAUCAAAAGAAAAAAAGUUGCAAUUGUAAACAGCUUUCUAUAAACUCAUCUCACCGCAAGGGAAAUAUAAUCAGCAAGGGAGUACAGGCAUGGCCUACCAAGACAAACUGGNNNNNNNNNNNNNNNNNNNNNNNNNNNNNNNNNNNNNNNNNNNNNNNNNNNNNNNNNNNNNNNNNNNNNNNNNNNNNNNNNNNNNNNNNNNNNNNNNNNNNNNNNNNNNNNNNNNNNNNNNNNNNNNNAAGACUGUGUGAUCUCACAGCAAACAACAGGUGCAAAAAUUGCAAAUACCUCAGCAGGCGAGAAAUUCUUGCCAUUGAAGGUGCAUUAGAAACCAUCGGCAGCCUUUUGAUCGAUAAGCUCAAUCAGCACGCUGUACCUAUCUUCCAUCCCAUCAUUCCUACAUCAAACCCACAAUUCGCAACACAAUGAUCACUAAAACUACUAAAAAGCAUUUACAAAAGAAACCAGACCGGAAAACCCAGUUCCACCGUCGGAAUGCUUCCAAAAAAUUGAACUUUCAUCAUCGGACACCCCCUAAGGCAUGAUCACGAGCAAAUUUUCAGUAAUCGAGUCCAUCUCUUAGAUUUUCGUCAGCGAAUUCUAAUUCUUCGAAUUCUCCCUUUCGCUUACCCAAUUCAUCUCACCAACUGAAAAAACAGGUCCGAAGUCCCGAAGAAGAGGAGGAGAGAAAACAGAAACGAUCGAAGCCUUACCUGAUGAACCGGAGCUCGGAGACGUCGUCGAUCCGGGGGCCGCAGAACCGGAUGAAGUCGUCGGGGGAAAAGUAAUUGGGGACGGCGACGACGAAGAGGGUGGUGGAGCGGGCACCGGGGCUCGAGAGGGGCGCGUGCGACAGCGUCCGGAACAGGUGGACCAUGCCCCUCCGCUCGGCGAACCUAGCGAUCUCCGGCGGCGGCGGCGAGGAGGAGGAGAAGCCGCCGUAGUCGGUGGCGAGGGGGUGGUCGGUGUCCACCGAGUGGACCCGGAGGAAGAACAUCUUUUACCCUUCGGACUGAGUUGAAUCGCCCGAGUUGGAGAAGAUUGCUGGAUUGCGGAGCAGAGAGAAGAAACUCGCGGGAACUAAGAGGAGGAUUGGGCACGCCUUCUUCCUGGAAUUAUAACGGUUGCUACUUUCCACCCAAAAAAAAAAACUAAUUGGUGCAAAAUGAAUAAUUUAUUGUCUAAUACGACUAACUUAAUUUCAAUAAUUAUUUAGGAGAGAUUUAAAAAGAAUUGGGUAUUCCUUGUUGAGUUGAGAUUUACACAAUAGACAUUUUUUAUUCAUUUCGGGUGUUCGAAAUAAUUAAAAAAAUUAAAUUUGAAAUUGAUCAAAUUACUUUUUGAUUGAACAAAUUCAGAAUUAUGUGAAUUAUGGUAAGAAGUAUGUUAUGUGAUUGCUUAUGAACGAAAUAAUUUUGUAAUCAUCUCAUUCUCAUUUAUUAUCAAAAUGAUGAUGCAUCCGAAUUAAAAUUGGUAAUAAAUUCUACCGACAUUGGAAAAGCAAAGAAAUGAUAAAGGCCUAAACUGAACUAGUCGUGGAUUCUAUUUCUUUUGCUUCGUCUGACAAACAAAACAUGACGACAAAGGCUAGAAUACUCCUAGAUAUACUAAAACUGAAAUGCAAGGGCAGUCAAGUGUCUAUUUGGCAUAAAAAUUGCUAUCACAGGUGAUUAUUAUGCGGGCCUAGUUUGGACCAACAUCAAGACUAAAUUGUUGCUCAAGCUCGUUCAUAAAAUGAAUCAUAUAUAGAAAUGUUGGGGCACGGCUCAGGCGAAGGUCGGGCAAGCUAGGAUUUUUUAACGUAAGGAUAUUUUCUAGUCUCAGGGUCAUGUCUCUGAUUGUGAUGUUGCAGAGGGUAGAUUUUAUAGUCUCGGGGUCUUCCUCCUGACAUAGUUUGGCACAAUUUUUUCUUUAAGUGGUACAGUUAGCAUCCUUAUCAACUUGUAGAUCUUACAACCUCAGGGCCUUCUUCUAGACAUAGUUUGGCACCAUCUAUUUUAAGUGGUACAAUUAGCAUCCUAAUGGACUCAUGCUCAAGUCUAGCGGUGAUAAUUUGUUUUAUUAUAUUUAUUUAGGCUGACUGAAAGUGAAAAAGAAGAACAUGAGAUUAGGGUGAUGCGUGGAAAGCGUUGUCUAUGCGAGUUGGAGACAGGUUUAUCUGAUUUUAGUUAGCAAGCUAAAGGAUCAUAGGAACAGGGUUUAGUUUUCGCAGGUGGCUUCUUUUCUUGUUCCUUCUGCGUCAUGCUGAAAGUACUUUUCUUAUGUUUUUUUAUUUAUUCUUUUUAAUUUGCUGAAGUAGCAUUUGUUAGCACUUAGCAGGUUCUAUUUUCUUGUUCUUUUGCCACAAAAAAAAAUAAUAUGAAUUAAUUAAAAAAUCAUCUUCUUCUUGUGUUCCUAUUAUGAACGCGAUUUGAGCGCAACAACACUCAGACCUUGGAUGAAAGUCAAUACUUCGCCAUGGUCUACCUCGACAUUUUGCUUAUUGGACUGCAUUCUUUGGGAAUCAAGUUCCAUCUUUUUUAGGAUGAUAGUCUUUAACUGCAGUCGGUAAACACUAUAUUGUCGGGGACACAAGUCGGUUAUUUCUCCAGUUUUUACAGUUGACAGAGUUGAUUUUUUCAUUUGCAAAUGGACACAGAGCAGGUAGGAGCAUGACACCGAGCCUCUUUUGAUCUCAUCUAUAUUCCUAUCACCCUUCCCUUACUACGCUAUCAGCCACCAAAGAGUACUUUCUCUCAGCACAUGAGCCUAAUGGUAGGUGAUGGGAAAGUAGCCGAGAAUUGAAAAAAAGUAUUUACUUUCUCAUACGUGAAUUGUAUGAUUACAGCCCUAUNNNNNNNNNNNNNNNNNNNNNNNNNNNNNNNNNNNNNNNNNNNNNNNNNNNNNNNNNNNNNNNNNNNNNNNNNNNNNNNNNNNNNNNNNNNNNNNNNNNNNNNNNNNNNNNNNNNNNNNNNNNNNNNNNNNNNNNNNNNNNNNNNNNNNNNNNNNNNNNNNNNNNNNNNNNNNNNNNNNNNNNNNNNNNNNNNNNNNNNNNNNNNNNNNNNNNNNNNNNNNNNNNNNNNNNNNNNNNNNNNNNNNNNNNNNNNNNNNNNNNNNNNNNNNNNNNNNNNNNNNNNNNNNNNNNNNNNNNNNNNNNNNNNNNNNNNNNNNNNNNNNNNNNNNNNNNNNNNNNNNNNNNNNNNNNNNNNNNNNNNNNNNNNNNNNNNNNNNNNNNNNNNNNNNNNNNNNNNNNNNNNNNNNNNNNNNNNNNNNNNNNNNNNNNNNNNNNNNNNNNNNNNNNNNNNNNNNNNNNNNNNNNNNNNNNNNNNNNNNNNNNNNNNNNNNNNNNNNNNNNNNNNNNNNNNNNNNNNNNNNNNNNNNNNNNNNNNNNNNNNNNNNNNNNNNNNNNNNNNNNNNNNNNNNNNNNNNNNNNNNNNNNNNNNNNNNNNNNNNNNNNNNNNNNNNNNNNNNNNNNNNNNNNNNNNNNNNNNNNNNNNNNNNNNNNNNNNNNNNNNNNNNNNNNNNNNNNNNNNNNNNNNNNNNNNNNNNNNNNNNNNNNNNNNNNNNNNNNNNNNNNNNNNNNNNNNNNNNNNNNNNNNNNNNNNNNNNNNNNNNNNNNNNNNNNNNNNNNNNNNNNNNNNNNNNNNNNNNNNNNNNNNNNNNNNNNNNNNNNNNNNNNNNNNNNNNNNNNNNNNNNNNNNNNNNNNNNNNNNNNNNNNNNNNNNNNNNNNNNNNNNNNNNNNNNNNNNNNNNNNNNNNNNNNNNNNNNNNNNNNNNNNNNNNNNNNNNNNNNNNNNNNNNNNNNNNNNNNNNNNNNNNNNNNNNNNNNNNNNNNNNNNNNNNNNNNNNNNNNNNNNNNNNNNNNNNNNNNNNNNNNNNNNNNNNNNNNNNNNNNNNNNNNNNNNNNNNNNNNNNNNNNNNNNNNNNNNNNNNNNNNNNNNNNNNNNNNNNNNNNNNNNNNNNNNNNNNNNNNNNNNNNNNNNNNNNNNNNNNNNNNNNNNNNNNNNNNNNNNNNNNNNNNNNNNNNNNNNNNNNNNNNNNNNNNNNNNNNNNNNNNNNNNNNNNNNNNNNNNNNNNNNNNNNNNNNNNNNNNNNNNNNNNNNNNNNNNNNNNNNNNNNNNNNNNNNNNNNNNNNNNNNNNNNNNNNNNNNNNNNNNNNNNNNNNNNNNNNNNNNNNNNNNNNNNNNNNNNNNNNNNNNNNNNNNNNNNNNNNNNNNNNNNNNNNNNNNNNNNNNNNNNNNNNNNNNNNNNNNNNNNNNNNNNNNNNNNNNNNNNNNNNNNNNNNNNNNNNNNNNNNNNNNNNNNNNNNNNNNNNNNNNNNNNNNNNNNNNNNNNNNNNNNNNNNNNNNNNNNNNNNNNNNNNNNNNNNNNNNNNNNNNNNNNNNNNNNNNNNNNNNNNNNNNNNNNNNNNNNNNNNNNNNNNNNNNNNNNNNNNNNNNNNNNNNNNNNNNNNNNNNNNNNNNNNNNNNNNNNNNNNNNUCUCUAGAUUUCGUCAGCGAAUUCUAAUUCUUCGAAUUCUCCCUUUCGCUUACCCAAUUCAUCUCACCAACUGAAAAAACAGGUCCGAAGUCCCGAAGAAGAGGAGGAGAGAAAACAGAAACGAUCGAAGCCUUACCUGAUGAACCGGAGCUCGGAGACGUCGUCGAUCCGGGGGCCGCAGAACCGGAUGAAGUCGUCGGGGGAAAAGUAAUUGGGGACGGCGACGACGAAGAGGGUGGUGGAGCGGGCACCGGGGCUCGAGAGGGGCGCGUGCGACAGCGUCCGGAACAGGUGGACCAUGCCCCUCCGCUCGGCGAACCUAGCGAUCUCCGGCGGCGGCGGCGAGGAGGAGGAGAAGCCGCCGUAGUCGGUGGCGAGGGGGUGGUCGGUGUCCACCGAGUGGACCCGGAGGAAGAACAUCUUUUACCCUUCGGACUGAGUUGAAUCGCCCGAGUUGGAGAAGAUUGCUGGAUUGCGGAGCAGAGAGAAGAAACUCGCGGGAACUAAGAGGAGGAUUGGGCACGCCUUCUUCCUGGAAUUAUAACGGUUGCUACUUUCCACCCAAAAAAAAAAACUAAUUGGUGCAAAAUGAAUAAUUUAUUGUCUAAUACGACUAACUUAAUUUCAAUAAUUAUUUAGGAGAGAUUUAAAAAGAAUUGGGUAUUCCUUGUUGAGUUGAGAUUUACACAAUAGACAUUUUUUAUUCAUUUCGGGUGUUCGAAAUAAUUAAAAAAAUUAAAUUUGAAAUUGAUCAAAUUACUUUUUGAUUGAACAAAUUCAGAAUUAUGUGAAUUAUGGUAAGAAGUAUGUUAUGUGAUUGCUUAUGAACGAAAUAAUUUUGUAAUCAUCUCAUUCUCAUUUAUUAUCAAAAUGAUGAUGCAUCCGAAUUAAAAUUGGUAAUAAAUUCUACCGACAUUGGAAAAGCAAAGAAAUGAUAAAGGCCUAAACUGAACUAGUCGUGGAUUCUAUUUCUUUUGCUUCGUCUGACAAACAAAACAUGACGACAAAGGCUAGAAUACUCCUAGAUAUACUAAAACUGAAAUGCAAGGGCAGUCAAGUGUCUAUUUGGCAUAAAAAUUGCUAUCACAGGUGAUUAUUAUGCGGGCCUAGUUUGGACCAACAUCAAGACUAAAUUGUUGCUCAAGCUCGUUCAUAAAAUGAAUCAUAUAUAGAAAUGUUGGGGCACGGCUCAGGCGAAGGUCGGGCAAGCUAGGAUUUUUUAACGUAAGGAUAUUUUCUAGUCUCAGGGUCAUGUCUCUGAUUGUGAUGUUGCAGAGGGUAGAUUUUAUAGUCUCGGGGUCUUCCUCCUGACAUAGUUUGGCACAAUUUUUUCUUUAAGUGGUACAGUUAGCAUCCUUAUCAACUUGUAGAUCUUACAACCUCAGGGCCUUCUUCUAGACAUAGUUUGGCACCAUCUAUUUUAAGUGGUACAAUUAGCAUCCUAAUGGACUCAUGCUCAAGUCUAGCGGUGAUAAUUUGUUUUAUUAUAUUUAUUUAGGCUGACUGAAAGUGAAAAAGAAGAACAUGAGAUUAGGGUGAUGCGUGGAAAGCGUUGUCUAUGCGAGUUGGAGACAGGUUUAUCUGAUUUUAGUUAGCAAGCUAAAGGAUCAUAGGAACAGGGUUUAGUUUUCGCAGGUGGCUUCUUUUCUUGUUCCUUCUGCGUCAUGCUGAAAGUACUUUUCUUAUGUUUUUUUAUUUAUUCUUUUUAAUUUGCUGAAGUAGCAUUUGUUAGCACUUAGCAGGUUCUAUUUUCUUGUUCUUUUGCCACAAAAAAAAAUAAUAUGAAUUAAUUAAAAAAUCAUCUUCUUCUUGUGUUCCUAUUAUGAACGCGAUUUGAGCGCAACAACACUCAGACCUUGGAUGAAAGUCAAUACUUCGCCAUGGUCUACCUCGACAUUUUGCUUAUUGGACUGCAUUCUUUGGGAAUCAAGUUCCAUCUUUUUUAGGAUGAUAGUCUUUAACUGCAGUCGGUAAACACUAUAUUGUCGGGGACACAAGUCGGUUAUUUCUCCAGUUUUUACAGUUGACAGAGUUGAUUUUUUCAUUUGCAAAUGGACACAGAGCAGGUAGGAGCAUGACACCGAGCCUCUUUUGAUCUCAUCUAUAUUCCUAUCACCCUUCCCUUACUACGCUAUCAGCCACCAAAGAGUACUUUCUCUCAGCACAUGAGCCUAAUGGUAGGUGAUGGGAAAGUAGCCGAGAAUUGAAAAAAAGUAUUUACUUUCUCAUACGUGAAUUGUAUGAUUACAGCCCUAUUUGUAAUGUGUAAGCCCUAUCUAAUCAAAGAAAGAAAUAUACAAAAGGAAGGGAAAUAUCUUUUUUCCAAAAUAUACAAUAUUCUAAUCUCCUCUAAAUGAACCAAUUAGCAUCAAUUAAAAUCAAUUACAGCAACGGUAUCUUCAACACUCCCCCUCAAGCCGGUGGUCUAUACACAUCAAAGACACCAAGCUUGCUCAAUAGAUACGUAUGUUGCCUUUGACACGGGGGCUUAGUAAAAAUAUCUGCAGGCUGUUCUGUUGUUCUUAUCCCUCUUGUCUUGAUUACUCCAGUUUGAAUUUUGUCUCUAAUGAAGUGACAAUCAACCUCUAUAUGUUUCGUUCUUUCAUGAAAAACUGGAUUUACUGCAAGUUUGAGCGCAGCAUCAUUGUCACAAAAUAGGACAGUUGGCUCUUUCACCCAUACACCAAGAUCUUAGAGCAAGCCUCUUAUCCAGACUAUCUCACAGCUAGUUUUCGCCAUUGCCCGGUAUUCAGUUUCAGCGGAUGAUAACGAUACAGUUGAUUGUUUCUUUGUUUUCCAUGAGAGCAAUGAAUCUCCCAAUUUUAUGCAAAACCCUGUAACUGAUUUUCUACUCAUAGGGCAAGUAGCAUAGUCUGUGUCACAGAAGGCUGUCAUUUCCAUGUUGUUGUUUCGAGACAAUAGUAUUCCUAAACCUGGACAUCCUUUCAAAUACUUCACGACCUUCAGUGCAGCAUUCAUGUGAGAUUGUUUUGGAUCAUGCAUAAACUGACUGAGAAUUUGUACUGCAUAACAUAUGUCCGGUCUAGUCAUUGUGAGAUAGAUAAGCUUCCCGACAAGCCUCUGAUAGAUGGAAGGAUCUUUGAGCAAAAGAUCCUCAUUUAGGGGUGAUAGUCCCUUAUCAUACUCAGCCGUUGUUAAUUUGAUAUUUUGUUCAACUGGAAUUACAGCUGGCUUGGAUCCUGAUAAUCCUGCUUCUGAGAUGAUUUCCAGAACAAACUUGCGUUGAUUGAGGCAAAUUCCCUUAUAUGAUCGCGCAAUCUCUAUUCCAAGAAAAUAUUUGGGAGGUCCCAAAUCCUUAAUAUGGAAUGUGGAGUGUAGGUACCCUUUAAAUUUCUCAAUGGCAGAUUCAUCAUUCCUCAUAAUAAGUAUGUCAUCAACAUAUAUAAGCAAAUAAAUUGAUGAUGUACCUUGACUCCACGUGAAUAAGGCAUAGUCACGCUUGGAUUGUUGGAAUUUUGCAGUUAUAAGUGCAGAGGUGAACUUGGCAUACCACUGGCAAGAAGCCUGCUUGAGUCCAUAUAGGGAUUUACGUAAACAACAUACUCGAUUCUCCCCCUGUUUGCGUAAACCCGGUGGAAGAUCCAUGUAAAUUUCUUCUUCUAGAUCUCCAUGGAGGAAAGCAUUAUGAACAUCCAUUUGAUGAAGAGGCCAAUCACGAAGAGCAGCAAUGGAGAGAAAGGAACGAACGGUGACUUCUUUUGCCACGGGAGAAAAAGUUUCCGUAUAAUCAAAACCUUCUCGUUGUGUAAAACCCUUGGCUACUAAUCUGGCUUUAUAACGUUCAAUUGAACCAUCUGCCUUGUACUUGAUCUUGUAUACCCAUUUACACCCGAUAGAUUUUCGAUGAGGGGGUAUAGGAACAAUAUCCCAAGUGUUGUUCUCCACCAGAGCUCGUAACUCAUCCUUCAUCGCUCGUUGCCAAUGAGGAUCUUUGAUAGCCUCGUCAUAUGAAGACGGUUCCCGUCCCUCAGAAAUUUUACUUAUGCAACACCUAUGUUCGGGUGAAAGGCGAGCGAAGCUAACAUAAGAAGAGACAGGAUAAUGCGUACCAGAUUUUGCCAAGGUGGGACAAAUGUAGUCUGUUGUCCACGUGGGCAGUCGUGUUGUCCGGCUUGAUCGUCGAGGAUGAUCCGUUUCACUUCCAAUAGCCGCAGGAGGGAUAUUAACUAAAUCAUUCGAUGAGAUGGUGUGACCCUUUGGUAUCGCUUCUUGUGACUCCCUAGAGGCUGCAUUAUUUGAGCAAGACUGAGGAUCACAUUCAGCUGCAUGAUGCGUUAUAGGUGAUGUGAUAUUAGGAAUCAUGACGGGCUGUGGAGACAAGAGAUCUUCUUCACUCAAGAAUUUAUGAGGAUUUGUAGCCGGAUCUAAAUUUUGAUGUAAAGAUAAAUCUUCUUGGAAAGGAAAGAUGUCCUCAUGAAAAAUAACGUCUCUGCUAACAAGAAAGUCUCCAGUGGAUGGAUUAUAAAUCAAGUAUCCUUUUUGAUGAGCAGGAUAUCCCAUAAAUACACCUUUAACUGCACGAGGACCCAAUUUGUCCCGAGUGCCUACAGUUGAGACAUAGCACAAGCAUCCAAAAACACGAAGAUGGUGGAUGUUUGGUUGUUUCCCGAAGAGUAACUCAAAUGGAGUCUUGCCAUUCAGAAUCUGAGACGGCAUUCGGUUGAUCAAAUAGGUUGCUGUGACCACACAAUCUCCCCAAAACAUCUCCGGAAUUGAGGCUUGAUACUUAAGGGCACGAGCAACUUCUAAAAGAUGUCGAUGUUUCCAUUCAACGACCCCGUUUUGUUGAGGUGUAUAAGUACACGAACUUUCAUGAAUGAUGCCAUUAGAAAUAAAUAGAGAAGAACACUCAUGAUUAAAAAAUUCACGAGCAUUAUCAAUACGAAUCCGUUGCACAGAUUUGUGAAAUUGAUUUUUAACUAAUGUAAGGAAGUUCCUAACAUGGGAAAGAACUUGUGCCUUAGAUUGCAUCAAAAAAAUCCAUGUAGCCCUUGUAUUGUCAUCCACAAUGGUAAGGAAGAAACGUGACCCAUCCCGAUUUGGUGUAUGAUACGGACCCCAAACAUCCAUGUGUAGAAGAGAAAAAGCUGUAUGAGCACGUGAGGUACUUUGUGAAAAAGGCAAUCGAGAUUGUUUAGCUACUGAACAGAUAGGACACUUUGGAUGAGGAAAAGAGGCACUAUGGCCUAAACGCUGAUGAGACAAAAUAUUAUUAUUAACUUUGGCAUUACACAAAAUGCUCUCAUUUAAGGGUAGAGAUGAAAUAUCAAGAUUUUUGGGAAGUGCGGCCCAAAAAUAGAGUCCCUCUUGAAUUUUACCCAAUCCCAUCAGUUUCCCAGUCGAAAUGGCCUGGAAAAAACAAAUGUCAGAAUCAAAAGUGACUCGACAAGAAUUGUCUUCACAAAUUUUUGAGACGGAAAUGAGAUUAAAUUGGAACUCCGGAAUAAACAAGACAUUUUUCAAUGUGAUGAAUGGGUUGAGUUGAAUGUUUCCUGUUUUAGUAACGGAGGUAUCAUUCCCAUUUGGGAGACGUACUGAGGUGAACGGGGUCGAUGUACGAACAUUAGUAAGGAAAUGCUCAUCACAGACAAUGUGGUCACUAGCACCUGAAUCAAUAAUCCAUGCUUCAGUUGAAAUGGAGCUUAGGCAAUGAGAAAUACCUGUAUAACUUGCUGGUUUGUCCUGCAUUCUCAAUUGGCUUAGAGCUCUCAUGAUUUGUUGGAACUGAUCGUUAUUGACAGGUUGAUGAACUUUGGCAUGUGCCGCAAUUGAGACAUCUUUUUCCUUUUUAUCUGUUGGCCUCCCAUGCAAUUUCCAACAAUUUUCUAGCGUAUGAUAGGGUCGCUUGCAAUAAUCACAGAAUUUGGCUUUUCCUUUAUUGGAAUUUUGGCCACGUGAUUUAUUUGAGGCCACAACAGAAUUUUGGCCGUUGGAUCCCCGAGUAGCCGCGGCAUGAUGUCCACCGUCCGAUAUGGACGUGGAAAAAAUCAAUCCGGAGCCAUCUGAUCGCGCGAACGAAUCGGAGCCGUUAGAUCCCAUGAUUAAAUCACGUCCGUUCGUUGGGAAAUAAGUUUGUGUGAGCCCUGAGCCAUCCGAUUGCCCAAACACAUCUGAGCCGUUCACUCCAGAGGAUAAAAAAGAUUUGUCUUCUUCAUCCAGAAUCCCUAGCGCUGCGACUGACGUUAUGUGUCCACCAUGGCUGCCAUGGCCGGACCUUGCAGCGGCCAACCGCUGCUCUGGCGUCGCUUUGGCAGCAAGGAUAACUCGGUCUCCUACCUUGGCCGCUGCUCUGGCGUCGCUUUGGCAGCAAGGAUAACUCGGUCUCCUACCUUCAGGUACUCCGAGGAGGCCAGGCGUUGCGAUUCUUCCUGGACCGCGAGCUGGUAGAUCCGGCCGAGUGAGGGUACAGGCUCCAUGGCGAGGAUCUGGCUGCGAAACGGUAAGUAACUCUCAUUUAAAAUAAGUAAGAACCGUGUCACCUUCUCUCGCUCUCUUAUCGCACGAUAUUGUGCUAGGGUUGCGUCGGGUCCCUCCAACUUUUCUUCAGCCAUUUCCAACUCGUUCCAUAGUGCGGACAAUUUGUUGAAUACGCUAGAAAUAGAGAGAUUCCCCUGUUUGAGUUCUGAUAGAGCCUGAGUUAAGCUGAAAAUUUUUGCGCGAUCGAGUUUUCCAUACAUUUCCCGUAUGUUUUCCCAAAUUGCUUUCGCGUCUUCGGUCGGAGGGAGUCCCGCGGCGAACUCCGGGGUGAGACAGUUACCGAUCCAGGUCCUAACGAGCUGAUUGCAUUUCCUCCAAUGGCGUGCAAGUCGCUCGUCAACCGGAACUGGAACGGUGCCGUCAAUGAACCCCUCUGUCUUUUGUGAUAAGGGCCCGUCGGAACUCUCGCGACCAAAGGGAAUAAUUUUCCGGCCCGGAGAGCUUCUGUGUGAUAAGGCGGAGCUCGGGGCCAUCGGUAGCGGACGUGUACAGGGGGUCUCCCGGCUCGGGUCGACCGCCAAUGGCACCUACGAAUGGAGAAAAACCAGGUCCAUAAGUCGGGUAAGGGUUCACCCCAAAACCCGAUGGACCCGAACCACUUUGGUUCAGAAAAGUCCAACCUGUUGCAGAUCCUGGGUAGGACUUGUUAUUGGGUAGUGUACCUCCUCCUGACCCGUCGGUUCCACCGUGGGUUCUCUCGGCAGAGCCAAUUACAUUCUGAGCCAGAUUCGUUUGACUCGUCUGACCCGGAAUAGGUGGUUGAACUUGGAUCGGAACCCAUUGAACGUAAGGUCCCGUAAAAAUUUGCCCUGAAUUAGGCUGAACAUGGCUCUGUUGCUCUUCAUCAAGUGUCGUCUGGUUCAGGUCUUGCGUCUGAUCCUCAAUAUCUUGUCCUGAGGGUGAAUGAUUCAGCUCUUGUUCGUCGGAAGAAGUUUCUGGAUUAUGGGGUACUCCAGAUUUUGAGGCUUGGUUUUUUGGCAUAUUGUUUCCUUUUGCUGAUCUAGCCAAAACACUUUCUCAGGUUUGGUGUGGACUGGAGAAGAAAUCAGGACCUUGAUGAGGACAGAGAUGAAGAAAAAAAAUGGGCGGAAGCUAAAAGAGUAGCUCUGAUACCAUGUCAGAAUGGUAGGUGAUGGGAAAGUAGCCGAGAAUUGAAAAAAAGUAUUUACUUUCUCAUACGUGAAUUGUAUGAUUACAGCCCUAUUUGUAAUGUGUAAGCCCUAUCUAAUCAAAGAAAGAAAUAUACAAAAGGAAGGGAAAUAUCUUUUUUCCAAAAUAUACAAUAUUCUAAUCUCCUCUAAAUGAACCAAUUAGCAUCAAUUAAAAUCAAUUACAGCAACGGUAUCUUCAACACCUAUAUUGUCAUCGCAGAGCGCUUGCACUUCAAACAAAUGCAGAAGUAGGAUGUGGAAUCUAAGAGUGUCUGAUUUGAUUCGUAUACAGUGGGUUCAACCCUCGGCAAGUUUGGAUGUUGCAUCUUAAAAGGCACAUUCUUCUAAACGGCUGAAUUUGCAGAAUCAAUAGCAAAGUGAACCUAGUGGGCACGUUUUCUCCGGACAUUUCCACAAAAUUUGGAAUUAGUUCCCCUUACAAAUAGGAACGAUACUAGGCUUUCCCCCUUAUGAGAAGAUGUUCUUGACCUGGGAGUUUAGAAGGGAGUAAGAGCCACUUAAAAGCUGUUGUAGUUUUGGAGAUGGUAUCAAACGAUCUCUCAAAAAAGUACUCUCGGUACGCCAAACAUUAAUUAUCUUGACGUUUUACAAAAUCGUUCAUAUAUUUUUAGAUAGUCAUUGAAUAAAGGGAAAAUUCCAAAAAGAGAUCCAAAGUGUUAUAUUUUUCUCAAAUAAGGAUUCGAAGUGGAUUUUGUUUUAAAUAAAAAUCUGAAGUGACUUUAGUUGUUUCAAAUAAGAGCUUGAAGUGGCUUUGGUUAUUUCAAAUAAAGACCCAAUCUCGACAAUCGCCGGCCGGCUAAAUCUUCUGACCGGUCAAGAGUAUUUUCGUCAUUUGGCAUUUCCCCCCUUUUUUCUUCCUUUUUUUCUUAUCUUUUUUUUUUCCUUCUAAUUCCUUUUCUUUCUCUUUGCUGGUGGCCAGCUAGCCACCGGCAAUGCCCAUAGAGGGUUGGGUGAGGGCCACCCACACCUGCCACAAGCAAGGGACGGCCUCACUUAGGCGUGGUGACCUUCACCCAGGGGCCAUCCACGAGAUCAGUCCUCGCUAGCCCUGGUGAGGGUGGCCUUGCUCGCAACCAGCAAGGGCUGGGUGACCUUGCCGGCCGUGAGCAAGACCUAGGUGAGGCUGACCCUCGCCAGAUCUAGCGAGGGUUGGGCGACCUCACUGGCCCCUGAUAAGGGUUUGCAAGGCCACCCUCACCAAAUUUGGCUAGGGUCGGCCUCGCCUAGGCCUCGCUCGGGGCUGACCGGUCCUUACCAACGGCCGGUGAGGUCAUCCAACCCUCAUCGGCCGCAGGCAAGGGGUCGGUCUCGCCUAGGGCUGGUGCGGGCCGACCUCACGGAUGGGCCCUAGGUGAGGGUUGCCUCGCCCAGGCGAGGCCAUCCCUCGCAUGUGGCCUACGUGGGUGGCCCUCGCUGGCAAGCGUGACCCUCGCCCAGCCCUCUGUGGGCAUUGCCAUCGGCGAAAAGGAAGAAGAAGGACCAGAAAAAAUAAAAAAAGGAAAGAAAAAAAGGUAGAAAAAAGGGGGAAAAUGACAAAUGACAAAAAUACCAUUGACUGUCGGAAAGUUAGAUCCUUAUUUGUAACGAAUAUAACCACUUCGGGCUCUUAUUUGAAACAAAUAUAACUACUUUAGGUCCUCAUUUGAAAUAACAUAUAUUUUAGGUCCUUAUUUGAGAAAAUAAUUACACUUCAGUUCCUUAUUUGAAACAAGGUUCACUUCAGGUCCUUAUUUGAGAAAAUGAGAGCACUUCGGGUCUCUUUUUGAAAAAUUUCCUUUAAUAAAUAAGUUAUAUAGCAAUUUCUACGAAAGCAACUUUGUUAAUUCAAACCCUCCAAGAAAAGAACAAUAAAAGGAGAUUGACAAUGCCAUUGGGAGGCAACUUGGCAAAGCGAGCACUUUUGUGAGGUAUAAUAAGUCAGAGUUUAACAUUAUAUGGAUCAGUCUUUAAUCACGAAUAAAGAAAUGGCAAUACCACAAUCACAAAACUGAGGGCAGUUGGUAUAAUCGAAAUUCCAUUUAAAACUGCUGUUGGCAUAUAAACUUGUUAUUUUGUUUCCAAGAAAAAAAUUAUAAAUAUAUUACCAUAGUAGAACAACAUAUAGAAGAAUUGAAGUUGAGAGCUAGACUUUUUAAAUUUUGGGGAAAAAAAGUUUCUACAAUAAGUUUUUAGGUACUGCUUUCAAGAAUGCUUUAGUUUGAUUGGCGGAACUGUAACAACUAAACUGAGAAUGGUCUUUCUUUAAUUUUCAGCGUCUGGCCGAGUAUAUGCAUUUACAAUGUCAAUAAGUGCCGGACACCGAAACUCAAUUGAAGAGGAGGACUGGGGAAAGUCAGGGAGUUGCACCAUCCACAACCCCUCCAAGUAUAGAGGUUAUGUAGAACGCUGGGCAGUGAAAUACCACCCUCGGGCCCCCCUUGCGUCCGCAGAUGCUGCUAACAAUACUUUUCCUUCCUACUUACGACGAAUGUCAAUAAAAUGAAAAAACAAUUAACUACAUUCAUGCCAUUCUUGUUUACUUAUCAAGCAUAUGCACACUAAGUGACACCUGCUUAUUUCCGUCUUCGGCUGGGCUCCGUGCUCUUUCUGGUUGGAAAUGAUUACUCCAAACGCACGGGUAAUAGGGUCCUCCUUGGACGCCAUCUUUAUCAGUCAUCUUACCGAAUGUUUUCUGGUAUCCAAUAAACACCUUAAAUUCUUUGAUCCGUUAAAGAUGACAAGGAACAUAUUGCUGUCAACACACGUUACAUACACAUACACGCGGUUGGCAAUAUUAUGAAAACCAUAUGAACUGAAGGAAUAAAAUUUUGAGGUUCAGAAAAUGUACCCGUUUAUCCACAUUUAGUAUUUUUUCAUUCUUCGACUUUAGUGACAAAAUUAUCCUGCACAUGUGAAGAAACCGUAUGUGUGCUUCAUUCAUGUCAAAUCAGAUGGGAGGACUAAGUUCUCCAGACAGCUUUAAAUUGACUAAACUCGUCUAGAAGUUGCGUCAAGUACAAUCCAUAACUAUGCUUAUCUAGGAAGAUUAGCCCACAUGACUCGAAUGAAGAUGAACAAGAUGAGUAUACUUUAAAAUGCUGCAUAAUUAUUCUCUACGUUGUAUGCAUAUUAAGGAACUCAAAAGGCAUCUAAACCCACAUCGCUUAAUCUGUGAAGCUCGAAUAAGGGUUAUGUCGACCAAGAGCAUAUUAUUUUCCUUUUAUUUUCUAUGUUCUCGAAGUUGGAAAUUUCAACACUACGCAUCAUGAACAACCAAUGAACUGUUAUUGGAAUUAGUAAAUUUUUAAUGUUGCAAUUAAAUUUUAGUCCCAUACCAUCACAGAAUUAUUUGCAAAUUUUUCUAGUGUGCAAAAUUGUACUUUGAACUCAAACAAUGACCGUGGAGUUUUGAACAUUAACUUUCUACCGAUAAAGUUAAACCUCUAAGGCAAUAGCACUAAAACAUCAAAAGGGAAACAAAAUCACAGAUGAAACAUACAUUAACAAAGGAACCAAAUAAGAGAGAGGUCGUCCCGUCUCGCCACUUCUUUGAAACUUCUUCAAAAAAAAUUCCCAAUAACUACCUACUUCAUCUUCUUGCCACGUCCUCUAACCAAUAUUAACUCAAACGUGGUCAUUUCCCUCCAAAGUAUGGUGAAAAGCAGGCAUAUUAUCUAUUCGAUAAAUUCUCACACGACAUAAAAUGACUUUUCCUUGUGCCUUUAAUGAUGUGUCAUAAGUCAUUUAUAAUCACAACUCAGAUAUUUGCAUUGGGUGUUGUAGUUUCUCUAUCCUCUUCCAACUACUUUCACCCUUUUUACCUCAAUUUGUGACACCAUCUAAAGGUUCAAACUAUGUGAACUCUUCCUCUUCACAUUACCAUCCUCACUUUUUUCUCAUCUUCUCAAUGUUAUUCCGACCUUUCCCUCUCAUGACUGACCGACUUAACUAAUGGAUAUGACCGGCAUUGACUGCGACAUUAGUCAGCAUGAUAGACUCAGGCGGCCAACCGUACUCAAAUCUCUCUUCAACUGAAAUUCACAUGCCACAUGGCACGCUUCCAUUAGUUAAAAUCCUCGCUGUCUACAAUAGAACAUAUGACACCCAAUGGUCUAAUUAAUUUUCGUGAUAACUGUGUGGGAGCACAAAACUCUAGUUUAAAAAAAAAAAAAACAAAACAAAACAAAACAAAGCUAUUCUACCACAGCCCAAUCAUUACAUGUUCCGACUCCUUCGCUGGUCGCGCCGCCGACCAUCAAUCUCAGGAGGAUCACGUUUGUUCAUUUCAUCGAGAGCACCAUUCCAGAACCCAAAAAAAAAAAAAAAAAUCGAGCAAGGAAAAUUCAUCUCAAAAAAGCGAUUCCGUUCGAUUCAGUUGGCGGUUUCAAGCGUCCUGAAUCGAUCACAGUGGCCGUCGCCGGCAUCAACAGCCUCUUCAAUGCCGCGACUCGUCUCCUUUGUUCCCCUCUGUUCCGCGGCCGAGAGCCUCGAAAUGUUCCAGUUCGCUCGGAGCUUCUCCACCUGUUCAGGUUCCCAUCAUCGACACGUUCUAGAGCUUCUUUCAGUGAUUCGUGCGGCCAAUGGUGGCCUCAAUCCGCUUCGUUAACCAGGUAGCUUCUCCUGCUCUUUUCUCACAAGUAAGAGGCCGAGAGUCUGAUUCUCUUAUUAUGAUGAAAUUUAUCAUUGUUGAAUUUUUUUUUUCUUUUGACUUGGAACAUCAUGUACUGAUUUAGGUUGAGUCUAGUUACAAAUUUGGGUUUGAAAUGGCUUUGAUCUGUUCCACAACCGAUUGGCCAUAAUUUGUUCGAUGAAAUGUGUCUGAGAUCUUGGUGUGAAUUGAUUCCAGUAAUCGUCCGAUCUGAAAGCACAUUAGUGAUGUUCACUUGAUAUUGUUUGAUUUUGCAAUCUUUAGGCAUGAUUACGAGUAUAUGCCAUGGUUGCCAAGAAUGAAACUGACUCUCCGUUUGUUUUCUCAGUGGUUCCUGUGAUCUUUUGGUGAUUGGUGGUGGUCGGUGAGACGAGAAGGCUUGGAGUCGCUGGCACACGCAAUUUUUUUGGUGAUGAUCAUAGUACGCCCUGUUGAACAGAAUUGAGACGAUGUCGCUGAGCAUGAAUCGCAAUCACGCCAAUUCAGAUCACUAACUUUGGCCAACACAUGUUUCGGUCACUAACUGGAGCAAAGUUAUGGCUGAUUGCUAGCCGUAUCCUUGCUGUUGAGUCGCCCCACAAUGUCCUCAACUGCUGAGCUUUGCUUCUGUCCAUGCCUUGCAGUCCAUCGUUGCCAUUGUAAUUGCUGUGGUAAACCUACCUUGCCAUACUGCCAUACGUUACCGAUAUGGAUUGAUGUACCAAUAGAGCUAUAUCCACUGCGUUUUGUUAAAAAUCGGAUCACCUCAUACCGGCGGCUUGUUUCUGGUCCAACUGAUUUUUAGAGUUGACUGUAUGUUCAGAUUUCCUUCACUCCUUUGUUUUUUAUGUUCAGAAUUUUGCGCAUCUUCUUAAACCGAAUCAUGGGAAAGCUAAGCUGUUCGAAGUCCAGUCGUCAUGGGGUCAAUACUUGUGUCGUCUACUUCCUGCUUUAUUCUCUGUGCAUGACAUAUUCUACUUCACACGUGCUGUCGAGGGAAAUCAUGGUCGACAAUCAAUAUGAAGUGAGCAAGUUAUAUUUACUCUCUGUCAUUAGUUGAUAAGCUUUGGGGUAUGAUGAAACCAGUCAAUAGCUUGCUCAGAAUAAGUAAAUGAGGAUUUACUUCUUUCUUGGAAGUGUCAAUGUCAUCGCUUUGUCUCUGAUCGUGGAAAGAGUUUAUGGUUCGUUUUGAACUUGCAUAAAAAUCGUUGGAAUGCUCAUGAAGCAGCGAGUACCCAAAAUUUACAAGUUAUAUGAAUUGGUGUGUCCUGUUGUUGCAUAUGCUGUAGUUUAGCAGUUAUUGUUCAUCUAUGUUUGCUGAACCAUUUGAUUUGUCACUUUCAAUCGACGAGAUUUUGAUAAAGACACAUGACAAUCGUGAGCGAUGUAUUGAAACUGGCACUUUGGUGAUGACAGUGCUCCUUCGUGUCACAGUAUGUACUUGUUUUAGGAAAAAUCAUUUAUGAUGUUGGAGAAGUGAAUAUGUGUUGUAGGUGCCUUGGAUUCGGACAAACCCCUCGUUAUCCUAGACCCACUCAUUGAAGAAACGGAGAGGUAUAAACGUAAUUACUUUCCUUCUCUUGGCAAAAAUUCUGCCAUUCCCAUAGAAGUUCCAAGAGUACGAUGAGGUCGCCUAAAAAUUAGAAAACAGAAAAUGGAGAAACAUUUUGAAUCAGUAGUAACUAAACUAAAUGUUCUAUUGUGGUUUUCUCCUAAAAUAUGUGGUGCUUAGAACCAUUGAAUACCUAAAGCAAAACACAUGUGAGAGAGAGCUUUCGAGAGUAACGCUUAUAACCGUGGCUGAUCUGUCGAAUAGUACAAUGUACAAGACUUUAUGUUAAGCAGGGAGAAUUGAGAUAGGUAUCCGCGUGCUUUAUUUUUUUGCGCUUCCAGCUGAGUUGAAGCUAGAUGUGUAUAGUCGGCGUGCAUCUAUGAAAAAGUAUAUCUACAGUGUCAGAGUAAACGAGGUAAGUCUGAUUACUAUAAUGGAGGUAAUAUACAUUUUGCAGGCCCAAUAAUGGACAUGUGACAUUGGGCCAGCAAAAUGAACAUAUGAAGCACAAAACCAGAAACAAAAUCUUUCAUUGUCACCUGUCAGCACCGGUAAAAGCAUCACGCACCUGCAAACUUCAAACAUCUCACUUGACUGAGUCCAAACUCCAAAUCUUUGCAUGGAAAGUAGAAUUGGAUAACAAAAAUGUUCACGGCAUAGAUAUAAGAGGGCGCAUGAAGCUAUUGCUUCAAUUUUGUUGCUGAAGAGCGCCCCACUAUUUUCGGAAUCCUCACUGCAACUGCAACUACCACUAUUUCCUUGAAGUGAUUCACAGUAUGAAUUCAUCUCCCAAAGUUUUCCGUCAACUUUUGAUUCAUUAAGUCGAUGAAUGUAAGUGUCCCCAACGUAGUCCCAAAUUUGCUGCGUUCUUAAAUCUAGAGAAUAGCAAUAUUGUGUAUUUUUCCAACGGCUGAUCGCGUGCUUAUCUUUGCAUCUACAAAUCCAAAAAGGACAAGCUGUAACAAGACAGCCUACCAAAACACUAAAAUAUAGAUCGAAGAUCAUCAUACACCUUCCACAUCUUCCAAAACCACAUAUCAGACAAACCCAAAGAUAGAGCAAAUUGAGAUAGAGCAGAACGAAAGUAUUCUUCAGAGUCAGGUCACAGAUGGGCAUCCCUGAUGAUGUUGCAAUAUGGAGCCACAUAUGCGAUAAUGUUUAAUUCUUGCAAUCUGAUCAAGUAUGUGCCAUACUUAAAAUCUUUAGCAAUGUAAUUGAACCUUGCAAUAAAAUCAAAGGAAGACCCUUGGCACAUCACCAGCAUUGGAGAAUAUCAUAUUGACUUAUUUUAAACAUAAAGAUUGACGAAUCAAGGAAAGGUUAGUAAGCAUAUGUCCAUUGAUGGAUAUCCUAUGUGACACUUUUUUCAUCUUUUGAUAUAUACUCAAGUUCAAAGUUACUUCUUUGCUACAAAUUUACAUGGAUGGAGCAUUAUCACAAUCAGUGGAAUAUAGCUUGAAAUGUGAAAAAUGACCAAGCACCAUCUUAUCUUACAGCCAGAAGUUUGAGAUCAAAGAUCAGCACUUUGACAUCAUUAUGAUCACCCGUGUCAAUAAUGAGUACUUAAGUUCAAUGCAUAAACUCAAUAAUUUAUGGUUGGCCAGUGCUAUUGCGAUCGCCCUUGGACUCAUAAUAAAUUAGACACAACGGUGAUAGGACUAUUAGAUCAAAUAACCAUAAUGAGACACUGCAAAUAUUCUCGUAUCAGGGUAUAAGAAACAUAAAAAAAAUAAGUCCAAGAAGCCACACUAUGGACCUAUUCCAAAUCAUCAGAAAAUGUCAUAAUCAAUUAAAGUGUUGAUAAAACCUCCAUAUAUAUUUUAAAAUUAACAAAACUCUCCAUGUUUGUAUUGAUCUUGGUAAUCACAAAAAAGGCAUUUGUGUUUUAGGUACUAUCUAUGUCAAAAGGAUUCUUCUUGUCCAAAAAGAAUAUUAGACAAACAAUGGAGAGUUGUGGACCUGAGCAGGUCCUUAAAAGGCUCAAGGAGAAAAUAUGUGAGAUAACCGCCCUGGGGUGGGAGUCCCUUCGCUGUCCUCCAUAUUCCCUCUCUGUCGGGAAGACAAAAAUAAAUAGAGAAUUUGGGGGCCUCUCAAUGGGGAAGGUAGACUUCACGUCAAAGCUUGCUCUGGCUACCGCCGAAUAGGGUGGUAUAGUAGCCACCCGCGUGUGGGGUGAGAGAGGGUGGGUGAAAUGCCCACUGCUGUGUCAGCAUGCCUUACGGCACGGUUCCCAACCAUUGGCUAACAUAGUACCCCUGGUAUAUGUGUGAUAUCAACAAGGCAACAGGCUAGAUAUCAGUAGAGUCCCACAAAAGCUAAGUAUAAGCAUGAAAUUGAUUUACAAGAUUAUUUUUUGAGACGUUUUAUAUUCCAUUUCGUUUUAACAGCUUGUGAUUAGGUAUGAAUUGCCUCUUAAGGGAAUAUUGAUUGUCUAUCUCAGAGAUUGUCUUAGCAAAAGACUCAAUCUUGUAAGAUAUUUUGAUUGAUUGGCAAUCAUCUUCAAAGGCAAGUUUCUUUCCAUAGUAGAAGCGUUCUAUUUUUUAGAACCAAGGUUUAAUUGUAUAGGCGACCAAAUGAAAAAGUCCCAUUUCAUAUUCUUCCCUAAAAUAUAUUUUGUUUUAUCUUUCAUAAUAUAAUUGUCAUUACUAUAUGCAUCUUCUUGUUUAUUUCUCAUAACGAAACGCAUAACCAAUACACUAUCGUCCUCAUGAACUACAUUGUCUACCACAUUAACAUGUCUUAUCUUAUUUUAUUUUAUUUUGUAAAUUGAGGUAUUGCAUUAAACAUCUUAACAAAUUUUAUUCUAUUUAGGAAACAAAAAGUAACCAUUUGGUUAAGAUAAUAAUGACAGCGACCUAUAACGAGUAUUGCUCAUUGAUUUUCUUUUCUAUUUUUUGUUAUUGAUUAAAUAUGCAAGUCUAGUCAAGUGUGCUGGAUCUCGACUUUCAAUAAAGGUGUGUUGGAUCUCGACUUUCAAUAAUGGUGUGCUAGAUCUCGACUUUCAAUAAAAGCUUCAUGUGCACUUGCUCAAAGAUUCAGAUUUAUGGAUUUUAUUGAUCACAUGUUGUUGGACGGUGUCAAUUACAAAGUUUGGAUUAUUUAAGGUUUGUGCCGAGAUGAUGUGGCAUUAACAUAUAUUCCCAAAUAUGAACCCAAGAUGCCAAAAACUCAGGAAGGUUCAGGAGUUUGUGAAAAGGAAAAAGUAGGUUGACCAAAAUUAUCUCGUUUAGGUCAUGAGAUGGAUUUAACGUAAUGUAUAACUCAAUUAGUUGUUGAUUGUGUAAACAAGAUCGUCAUAAUCAUCCAAUUUGCCCAAACAAGGAAAAACAAAUGUUCUCAUAUUUACCAUCAAUCGAUUUUUAAUUAUCUCGAUAAUCUAAUAUCCAUAUAGUAGAAUCUUCAGAAUUGUUACUAUAUUAAAUGUGCUAAUAUGCUUGUAACUCCAUUCAAACUAGGAUAUGGAGCCUAACCCAAUUCCCAUCUUUAGUAAAAUAUUCACGUCUAAUUUUCAAAGGCCAUUAAACGGUAGAAAAGAAGUGGCUCUGCGUAGAGGGAUUGUAUUCUGGUUUUCUAAUAAAUUAGGUAUCUUCUUCAAAUUAUAUGCCAAUGAGUAUAUCAUUAUCAUUAAAUGCUGUCGUAAUCUACUUUAUUUAUUUAUUCACUAAAAUUAGUUGGUGUAGAUUACGCACCUUCCGCAUAAUGCUACGGAAAUAAUAAUCCAAGGAGAGACGUUUUUGUGAUUGACUCGUGUAUAAUUUGCACCGGAAUCAUGGGAGUAUUGAAAUGCUGGUUAGUUUUCUUUCCUAUUUCUCUUAUUAACAGAACAGCAAAGUCAAGUCAACAAGCACGAGCUUAGGAUUCUUCCACGCACCUCCUGCAAACUGCUGUGGAAAUUACGCGUGCAUUUGAUUGACCUAUGGAAAUUGGUUUCGGUGAGAAUUGAUGGUUGUUCUUCAUUUCUAUUUCUUUAUUACUAGAAAAAGCAAGUCAAGUCAAAAAGCGUAGGAUGGUCCCCACGCCUGCUGCAAAAAGUAGUGGAAAUUACGCGGGCAAUAGUCGCCCUCCGGUUGUCUUUUCUAUUUCUCUUAUUGAUACAAAAGGCAAGGCAAGUCAAAUCAAGGUCUUGCUCGCUUCGCUUUGGAUAAAUAAAAUGUUUAGAAAUAAAAUAUCAUUAACAUUGGGAAUAUUUUUAAUUAAUUAAAUAUUUUAAUUAAUAUAAAUAAUCAUUUAAAAAUAUUUUUUAAAUAAUAUAAUGAAAUUAUUUUUUAUUAACUAAUUAUUUCAAAUGAUACAAGUAAACUUAAGAUUUAUUGUUUUAAGAGUUCACUUGUAUUUCUCUAAAAAAUUAAUCAAUAAAAAGAUUUUCAUUAUCAAUGAUAAUUUAUAUUUAUAUAUUUUCAUGAAUAAUUCAUUUAUUAAUUUUAGUAAGUAAUAUAAAGGAUUUUAAAAGAAUAUUUUUUGAAUUAUUUUUAUUUUAUGGAACAAAUGCACGCUAAAAGCUCCAAACAAAUGUUAAACUGAUGUGAUGAAGUAUUAACGUGCCCUAUCAAGGGCCCCAAACGUUAAAUCCUCGAAGUUGCCAUACCGCUUGUACCUAUCAAAGAAACUCAAAAAAAUCUACCCACACUGAUAUGAACAAGACAAACUGGUGGACUAGAGAGAGCCGUGUAAGAUGAACCAAAGAUAAGGAUGGAAUCUUGAACACCCAAUGAAACGAGAGAUAUAUAUAUCACAAGAUAAGGCUCAAAAUUCAUUUAUAAUAUGUUUUGUGGUGUGUUUAGGCUAUAGACCGGUCAUGUCUUUCAUUCUCAUUGGAUGCGCAGGAAUCCAAUAUCCUAAUAUAUAAUAUAGGUGCGUUUGAAAGGUUGUGGUCUCCAAAUAUGCAAACAUUUUUUUUUUCUAAUAAGGUGCUAAUUUGUCUUUACCUUAGUGUGAGUGGAAAUCCAUCACUAACCUCACCAGUAUUUUCCAUGAUCUAAUUUCAAAUAGUAGAAGAUUAAUGGGCAAGUUGAGCCUAGAAAUCCUUGCCCAAGAUCGAUUAUGAUUAAAGAAAAGGAAAAUAUUACCAACCCCGGAUCUAUAUGGAGAGAAUUUAUUAUACAAUUAAAAUAUUUGCACUCACAUUAAGGAUCCAAUUGCACUAUCACUUGAAUUAUUUUCCUAAAAUUAACUAUUUAUCAUUUAAAAUAAUUAAUUAAUAAAAAUAUUUUAAUUAUCAAUGAUAAUCUAUAUUUAUAUAUUUUGUAUUUUUUUUUCAAAGCGAGCAAGACUUUGACUUGACUUGUCGUGCCUUUUCUAUGAAUAAGAGAAAUAGAAAAGAAAACCAAAGGGCGAUCCGUAAUUUCCACUGCAUUUUGCAGAAGGUACUGGGGACCAUCCUCUGCUUCUGGACUUGACGUACUUUUUCUACUAAUAAAGGAAAUAGAAAUGAAAACGAACGAGCAAUUCUCCACCAUCUAAUUUCCACAAGGCAAUCAAAUGCACGCGUAAUUUUCACAGCAGUUUGCAGAAGGUGCGUGGAACCAUCCUGGGCUGGUGCUUCUUGACUUGACUCUGCAUUUUUCUGUUAAUAAGAAAGAUAGAAAAGAAAACUAACUAGCAUAGCAAUGCUCCCGUGCUCUCGGCAGUAAUCAAUAAAAAAAAAAAAUCACUUGUCGGAUUAUUAUUUCCAUGGUAUUAUGCAGUAGGUGCGUACUCUCUGCCAAUUAAUUUUAAUAAAUAAAUAAAAAGAGAUAGAUUUCGAUAGCAUUUAAUGAUGAUGAUAGGGUGCACUGAAAAGAAAAAUUAGAAUUUUUUUUCCUUUUUUCUUUUGUCAAUCUUUCUUUUAUCUAAAUAAAUACUAACUCAUUCAUAUAUAUUUUCAGAUGAUGAGGAAACCCUUCCGAUUUCCAUUAUUCAUAGGAAGUUUCGUUCAUUUCCUCUAGAUAUUUUGCCUCCCAAGCAAGUAAAAAUCCAAGAGCUCACAUUUCCAUCAAUUUUUGCCACACUUCUCGAUCCUCAAAAGAGUUUGAACCAAUGUUUAUCAUUUGCCUAGAUAACUUCUUGAUCCUCAAAAGAGUCUGGACCAAUAUUUAUCAUUUGUCUAGAUAACUUAUAUAACUAACAAACUUUUCUCCUCCUAGAUAUCUAGGAUUUCUAACUUUUUUUCUUUUCAUCGGGGAGGGAUUCACCCAUCGGCCACGCCCACCAAUUAUUAGAAGCAUCGUUAGGAAAAAAAAUAAAUGCACCCUACUAUGCGACAAAGUUACAUUCCAUAUUCUUCCUUAAAAUAUAUUUUGUUUUAUCUUUCACAAUAUAAUUAUUAUUAUUAUUAAUCCAUCGUUUGUUUUUUUUUCAUAACUAAACACAUAACCGGUACGAUGUCGUCCUCAUAAACUACAAUGUCCAUCAUAUCAUAAUGUCUUGUUAUGUUUUUCUGUUUUUUUAUUUUUGUUUGUAAAUUGAGGUAGUGUAUUAAACUUCAUUUAGUUAUGGUGAUAUAUUUUAAUAGUGUGAUUGGUCAAGGUCGUGAUAUCAUUGUAUAGUUAGUUCGUACUAUUCAAAUGCUAAUGAUAGAGACCUGUAACGAGCAGUGCUCGUUAAUUUUCUUUUAUAUAUUUUGUUAUUGAUGAAAAAUGCAAGUCCAAUCAAGUGAGCUGGAUCUCAAAUUUCCAUCCAAGCAUCACUUGCACUUGCUCGAAGCUUCAAGUCUAUGGAUUUCAUUGUUUGCAUGUUGUUGUAGGAUGUCAAUCGCAAAGUUUGGAUUAAUUAAGGUUUUUAAAGAGAUGGUUCGGCAUUAACGUGUAUUCCCAAAUAUGAACCCAAGAUUCCACGAACUUGGGUGGGGCCAACUACAAUGUCUUGUGAGUUUGUGAAAAGGAAAAAGAACAUUUGAUAAAAAUCAUCUUGUUUACGUCAUGAAAUGGAUUUAACAUAAUGUAGUAAAUCAAUUAGUUAUUAAUCGUGCUAACAAGAUCAUCAUAAUUGUCCAACUUGCCCACGCAAGGACAAACAAAUUUUCCCGUAUUUACUAUCACUUCAUUUUUAAUUGUCUCGAUAAUCAAAUAUCCAUAAAUUGUAGAUUCUUCACAAUUGUUACUAGAUUAAAUGUGCUAACAUGCUUGUAGCUCCAUCUGAACUCGAACAUAGAGUUUCACUGUGACAUCCAGAUUUUCGGGUUUUAAUUCGACUGGAUAAAUAGAGCCAUUUUCGUUCAGUUGAAGCCAGGGAUUGUGAAGUUGGAAUGCAAGUGGGUUAUAUUGGUAAGGAAAAAUACCAAUUGGAAUGAUGAGGUGUUGCAUAAAUUAAUGGGGGUCAAUUUGAUUUAAUUCAAGAGGAAUUAAGGCCCAGUUGGAAAGAAAACCUAGCAAAUUCGUAUGCCACACAUACCCCACAUUUUGGCCUAUCUAAAGGCUUCUAGAAGGGGUAGAAUUGACAAGAAAUUGUGAGUGGAAGGGUGACAUCACAUGAUGUCAUGGUGGGCCAAGUGUGUGAUGACCUAAGAGAGAGAGUGUGUGAGAGGAAGAGGGGAAAUUGAAAUUUUCUUCCUCCCCUCUCUCCUCCGUCGACGGAUCCAUCCCUAUCUUCUUCUUCCUUUUCUCCAAACCUCCAUGGGAGCGGAAGACCAGAGAAGCAGAAGCAGCUGCCGUCGUCGCCCACCGAAGCCGGAGCCGCCGCCGCUGCUCCGCGGUUGGCCGCACCUCACCGCACGCCCUCUCUUCCGCCUCUCUCUCCCUCCUCUUACUGGUGCGAACCAGAGGACAGCAGAAAGUAAAGCAGCGUCCAGCGUCGCCGGAAGGAACCGCGACCAGCUGCCUGGACGCCGCCGCACCGGAGCUGCCGCACCGCCGCCCGCGCGACGCCGCGCGCUCCGCCGCCUCACGAUCGCACCUGCCGUCCUCGCUGUGCGACCCAACCCCUGUUCCGCCUCUGUUCAGCUUCGUUUUGGCCAUCUACGGUCCACGGUUCGGCCACCUCCGGCCACCGUGCGCCGCCACUUCGACCCGUCGGAGUCCCCUCGCCCUCCACCGGCCUUGGCUAGCUCGAAUCAGCCCCGGAUCCGCCCCUUCCAGCAGCGAUCAGAGAAGUCAGAAAAUGGGUUUCCAGCACUGUUCAAGGUCGUUUUGGGUCGUUUCCCGGCCCCGAACUCGAGGCCCGCUUUGGGAACAAUCGUUCCUCGCGUCGCCGCCGUCGGAUUGAUCCGAUUUGCGCGCGAUUUGGUGAGUAAUCUCACUAAUCCUGGAUUAGUUGGCUAAUUAUGCUUUAGGUUGGUUUAGUUUUAAUUAAUUAUGUUUAGGUUGUUAGAUUAGAAGUAAUUAGCAAUUAUUAGUCAAUUGUGAUGCGAUUUAGAUAAAUUGAUUGUGCAAUUAACAAGUAGACGUGGUCUACUAUUUAUUGGGAGUGUCUCGGGAAUUUUCGAACCCCUAAUUGAGCUUCAAUUUGAUGAUUCGGGCCUAAGUGGGAUUUUUGGCAUUUAAAUAUUAAUUUUCGGAAUUAAAUUAAAUAAUUAUUUAUUUUUCGAAAAUUCAAGGGAGAUGGUCUGGAACCGGAAUAUUAUGCUGAUGAUUGUGGCGAAGUCCGUUUAUUUGAUCGGACUUUAUUUUUUUAAGCUAAAUUGAAUUUUUAAGAUUAAUCAAUUUUCGAAAUUAAUUAAAUAAUUAUUUAAUUCCUGAAAAUUCAACUGGGAUGGCCCGUGACCGGAAAAUUAUGCUGAUGACCGUGGUGAAGUCUGUUUACUUAAUUGGACCUUAUUUUGAGCUAAACAGAAUUUUUAAUAUUAAAUAAUUAAUUUUCGAAAUUAAUUAAUUAAUUAAUUAUUUUUCGGAAAUUAGGUUUGAGAUGGCCGAUGACCGGAAUUUCAUGCUGAUUGUCAUGGUGUGGUUCGUUUAUUUAUUUGAGGCUUAAUUUGUGAGAAAUUGAUUUAUUAGUGAUUUUAGGAUUUAUUCCUAAAUUGCACAAUUUUUGGUUAUUACUUGAAGAAUAACCGGGCAUCGGUUGAUAAUGCCAAUAUAUUGAAAAAGUUGCCGAGUGGGGCCGUGAUACCACUACAUAUAGCAUUGCCGAGUGGGGCCGUGAUGCCACUACAUGCCGAGUGGGGCCGUGAUGCCACUACAUAUAGCAUUGCCGAGUGGGGCCGUGAUGCCACUACAUAUAGCAUUGCCGAGUGGGGCCGUGAUGCCACUACAUAUAGCAUUGCCGAGUGGGGCCGUGAUGCCACUACAUAUGAUAUUGCCGAGUGGGGCCGUGAUGCCACUAAAUCUAAGAAAGUUGCUUGGUGGGGCCAUGAUUACCACCUAUAAUUAAGUUGUGUCCUAAGGACCGUGAUUCAUAAUUGGGAUUUGAAUUGGAAUAGUUGAAAUGACCGGAAGUGGUCUUGUUGAUAUGUAAUCGACUAGGUCGAUUGAUCAUUGCUUGAUCUGAUGUUGUGAAUGGGCAGAUUGAUUGGAAAUGACCAUGAGAUGGUAUGAUUGACUUGUAAUCGACUAGGUCGAUUGAUCGAUUAUUCGAUCUGAGUGUGACUUGAUGUGAUUCAUUGCCUUGGUUGGAUGUUGUGAAUUGAAUGAUUGAAUGGAGAUGAUCAUGAAUGGUCUUCCUGGCAUAUAAUCGACUAGGUCGAUUUGAUCGAUGCUUCGAUAAGUGAUCUGAUUGCUUGGGUGCCUAUUAUGAAUUGUACUAACUCGCAGGUGGGAUAUGAGGCCAAGGUACGUCUUCUGCCCUAUGCGUGUAUAGGCAGCCUAUAGUAUAAUAGUUUACUAAUUGGGCUUAGUGGGGUAGAACUCGCUGAGACGUAGUCUCAUCCCAGUUUGGGGAAAAACAUUUCAGGACCCCGUUGAGGAGCUGAGGAGGAAUCUGAGAAGGAGAACUCGGAAAUGAAACCUGAGUAGAAGAAUUUUUGAAAGAAGAAGAUAAUCUCGAGAGGGGCCUUGAGUACGGCCCGGAUGGCUGAGAGUUUAUCUUAUUUUGAGAUUUCCUUUUUGAUGUGAAUAGUUAUGAAGUUCUCUAGUUGAUGUCAUGUACAAAAGUUUGGUUAUAAAUUUCAAUAUGAAAAAUAUGGCCCUGCUUUUCUAUCCCAUCGUUUUAUUGUCUGGGGAUUUUAAUUGCUUCCGCAUGUGCUUAUAAAUUAAAAGGGUCGGCGAUACAUUGUCCUGGGAUAUCGCAUUAUAAAAUCAACAUGAGAAGAGAAGGAUGUGUGCGUGCCUGAGGAUCGGGGCGUGACAUUCACCCAAUUCUUCUCUUCGGUAAAAUUUCCACAUCUAAUACAAUCGGCAUUAAACAGUAGGAACGAAGUAGUUCUAUGCACAAAUUUGAUGGUCAUAUUACGAUUUUAUGAUAAAAUAGGUAUCUUCUUCAAAACUAUAUGCCAAUAUGCAUACCAUCAUCAUUAAACGCUACAACAAUCUACUUUUUUUUCUUUAUUAAAAUUAGUUGGCGGAGAAUACGCACCUUCCACGUGAUCCCGUGGAAAUAAUGAUGCAAUGAGUGAUGUCUUUGUGAUUGACUCAUGUAUAGGGGCAUUGGCGGCAUCGGAGCAUUCCUAUGCUGGUUAGUUUUCUUUUCUAUUUCUCUUAUUAGUUGGAAAAAAAAAAAAAAGCAAAGCAAAGUGAAGAAGCACGGUAUUGCAUGGUUCCACGCACCUUCUGCAUAACUGCUGUGGAAAUCACGCGUGCAUCGAUUGCCUUGUGGAAAUUAGAUGGUGGAGAAUAAUUGUUUGUUUACAUUUCUAUUUCCUUUAUUAGCAGAAAAAGCAAGUCAAGUCAAGAAGUAAGUAGAGGAUGGUUCCCGACGCCAUCUACAAAACGUAGUGGAAAUUACGCAGGCAAUGAUUUCCCUUUGGUUUUUUUUCCCGUUUAUCUUAUUGAUAGCAAAGGCAAGGAAGGUCAAGUAAAAUGUUGACAAAUAGCGGAGAUCACAGCGGUGGGCCAGCAUUCAUGAGCGUAUGGAGGGAAUUAUCCAUCGACCACGUCCGCUAAUUACCAAAGGCACCGUCAGAAAAAAAGAUAUACACUUUACGAUGUGAAAAAGGAAUUGCAUUUCAUUUUCUUUCCCAAAACUUUAAUUUAUUUUAUCAUUACUAUUUAACCUUUAUUUCGUGCAUAUACUUAUUUAUUUGUUACAUAAGGAUACAUGUGAUCGGCAAACUAUCUUCCCCGGGAACUACAAUGUCCACUAUAUUACCAUGUCUCAUUUUUCUUUUUCCAUUUGUACUUUGAGGUGGUACAUUAAAAAUGUUAACAAAAAAAAAAAUUCUACUCAGGAGUCAAAUCAAGUGUGAUGAAUUUUAAAUUUUGAUCAAAGCUUAACACACUUGGUAGAAGUUUCAAAGUCUAUGGAUUUUAUUGUUCUCAUGUUAUGGCAGAAUGCCGACCAAAAGGUUUAGAUUAUUUAAGAUUUGCAUAGAGAUUGAUCUAACAUAAGGCAACAACUCAAUUAGUUAUUUAUUAUGCAAUCCUUGUAAUUAUCUAACUUGCCCAAGCAACAACAAACAAAGCUGCCCAUAUAUACUAUCAAAUUGUUUUUUAAUUUUCUCGAUAAUCUAAUAUCCAUUGGGAUAUAGGGUCUCACCCGAUUCCAAUAUUUGAUAUAAUAUCUACAGUGAAUCUUCAAUUGAUCUUAAACAAUAAUGAAGUGACUCUACACACAUGAAUUUGAUAAUCGUCUUCUGAUUUUAUGAUAAAAUGGGUCUCCUCUUCAUAGCUCCACAUCAAGAUGCAUGUCAUAAUCGUCGGGCACUAACAUGCGCAAGCAAGGGAUCUUUGUGAUUUUAAGUCGGAUCGGACAGUGAUCCUACGCAUCCAUCCUACAUAGAGAAAGAGAGAGAGAGAGAGAGAGAGAGCAUUUCCGCAAUCUACACAAUCGGAAUUGAUUGUUGCUUUUCGGUGCUAUUUCUUUAUUCAUAAAAAAAAAAAGCUAGUCAAGUCAAAAAGCACACGUACCUUCGCAUGACGCCGGUGUGCAAUAAUUAUCAUGUCGCGACUGGGAUGGUUGGAUGGCAACUCAGCAUUAUAUGCUUUUUUGGACGAAUCUCCUUUGAAAAAAAAAAAAGAAGAGUAGAUUUUGGAUUAAAAAUAAUAAAUUGUCCUUAUUCGAAUAUCUAAACAAAGUGUCCUACUGACAUAUAUGUUAUUAUAUGUUUUUGUGUUUUUUUUUUGUCAAGUAUAUGUUUUUGUGAUUGACUCAUGUCUAUUAGUACUGGCAGCAUGGGAGUCUUGCUGGUUAUUUUUAUUUAUUUUUAUUUUAUUUUAUUAAUAGUUAAAAAAGUAAGUCAAGUCAAAAAGCACUCGCAUAGAAUGGCCCAUGCACCUCAAAGUUCCAGUACCUACCGCGUAAUGACGCAGGUACCAUCAAACAACAUUUUCUUUCAUUUUAAGUACUUAAAAUGGUCCGAAAAACAGGCAUGUGCUCACGGCUUAAUUUUCACAAAUAAAUUAAGUUCAGCAUUGGCCAAAAAAAAAAAAGAAAGCAAGUUGAGUGAAGGUUGAAAAUCGAGUUAUAACACAUAAGGUUUGACUUGAAAUUACCAAUGCAAUCAUUGCCAUUAGAGUACAAUGCUACGUAUAUUUUAGAUCUUAACAACUUAUUUGGUUUGAUUUCUAGCUUUUUCUUAACAACGAAGCAUAGAUCAAGUAUGUUAAUCCUCAUAUCAACAAAUUCUCCAUUUAUGCAAAAUAUUGAGCAAGAUAUAAUCUCCAAAUACAAAAGAAUUUAUGCUUACAAAUAUGAGGAACCAACACAUAUCGCGUGGUUAGUCUUCGUAUACUAAUUUUUACUUUAUAUUCCCUCACACCUCUCAUAGUUGAACUUUUGCUUAACAAAAAUUACUUAAAAGAUUCAAAAUAUUCAUAUAUCGUCACAUAGAUAAUUAUACAUUCAUGUUUGUAAUUUAACUUAAAGAAUGUACAUAUUUAAAAUAUUUUAAAUGUAAAAAUCAAAUAUAUUUUUAAGUGCAACCUAAAUUUUUAUCAAAGGGCCGCAUACCAAAAAUUUUCUUCUAUUUUGAAAGAGGUAAUGCGCCUCAUUAAUCAUUAGACAAAAAGGCCAAAACAUGGAGCCGCGUCCACCUCAGCCAGCGCUGUCGAGGCGUGUAGCAUAUUCCCAUCUCAUUUUUCAAAAGCCAAACGAAAUUGCUCCGAAAGUCCAACCCCUAAGUCGCGUCGGUCGGGGAGAAGGCGGGAACUUGCUCAGACCGCGCGCCACGGGAGCUCGAGGGGGCAAUUCGGUACAUUCGGAGUGGCCGAAGAUAUCCUCGAGGUGCGAGGUGGGGACCACGCGUGGGCUUCGGUUUCUGCGCAGCUGGACCGUCGUAGCGGCCAAGCAAAGUGGAGAGGAGGAGCGACGUGGGUCCGCUUUAAGAGACAACUUGGGCAGAAUCCACGAAGCAAAUGUCUACUCUGUUUUCGUGGAUAAAAGGUUCUGGGACAGUCGGACGGCAAUAACUCAGCAUCGUUUAAGCAAGCAGGGGAGAGUGUUGAGUGUAGUUAAUCCGAGGUCGAAGGGUGAGAACCGGCAGAGAUCACAGCAGUGGGUGGAGUGUGUUGUUUGAGCACUCCUAGGUAAUCGAUUCCUCCAUUUUCUUUUGAUGAGUUUCGAUUUGAGUUCUUGGAGACAUUUCUGCAUUCCGAGAUCUGGACUGUGAAAUCUAGCCCUUUUUUUAAAGGCUUUGCUCGAUAAAUCUCCUAUUUGGUCAAAUCACAAUUUAUUUUUGUUUGAAUGCAGCUACGAAUUGAGCUCUGACAAACAUUUCAGCAAUUCUCAUACGUGGGUUUCCAUAUUUCUCUUCACUAUUUCCUGGUUUCCUUUGAGGCUCUGCUCUAUCAAUCUCUUUCACCGUCUUUGUAGGUGAUGACGGCAGCGAAGCCUAAAAGAUUCGAUAUGUGGGGCGCCUUCCUUUCUGUUUGAAUUUAGCUACAAAAUGAACUCUGACAGACAUUUCAGCAAUUCCCGAAUCUGGGAUUCCGUAUUUCUCUUUGUUUGCUGCUUUUCUUCGAGGCUCUGCUCCAUCGAUCUCUCCAUUUCCUUUAUAGGUGAUUACAAAGGCGGAGCCUAAAAGAUUCGAUAUGUGGGGACAUUCAGAAGAUCCGAAUUGCGGGGCUUCCUCCUCAUCGACUUCUACACCUGUAGGUGAUUAUGAAGGCAGAACCAAAAAGAUGAAAAGAAAUGACUACGAAGUGUUCUUGAGCUUUAGAGGGAAGGAUACUCGCAACGGUUUCACCGAUUAUCUCUAUAAUAGUCUUGUCGAUGCAGGAAUUCAUGUGUUCAGAGACGACAAUGAGCUUUGCGUUGGUGAGGAGAUCGGACCAGAACUUCUCCGCAGUAUUACACAAUCUAAGAUCUCCAUCCCGAUUAUCUCAGAGAACUACGCUUCCAGCAAAUGGUGCCUUCGCGAGUUGGCUCUUAUGUUGAAUUGCAAGAGAAACAAAGGGCAAAUGGUGUUGCCCAUAUUUUACAAAGUGGAACCUUGGCAAGUGAAGCAUCUCACAGGGAGAUUUGGAGAUGCUAUCAAUACACAUAAAAAGAAUUUGGAAGAAAAGAUUGUGAAGGAAUGGGAAGAAGCACUCAAAGAAGUCACUUCCUUGAAAGGAUUGGAAUCGGAGAAAAUUGAUAAUGGGUAUAUUAUUCUCUACCACAACAUUGUUUACUUUCUCAGAACUAGAUUUUACUUGAAAAAUAAUACGAAUAUUUCCAUCAUAUAUUGAAAUUUUUAUUGUUGUUCGACAGGCGUGAAGGAACAUUGGUUAAAGUAGUUGUCAGAAAAGUUAUGAGUAAGUUAAAGGAAUUGUUUUUGCUAAAUGUUCCUAAACAGUUGGUGGGAAUUGAUGAUCAUGUGGAGGAUAUUAUGCACUUCAUAGAUGCUAAAUUUAACGAUACAAGUAUUAUCGGAAUCUAUGGAAUGGGCGGCAUCGGUAAGACAACUCUUGCGAAGGUAUUGUACAACAAGCUUUUGAGUCAUUAUGAGUCUCAUAGCUUUGUGGCAGAUAUCCGAGAAAAAAUUAAGCUAAAGGGUCUUGAAUGCAUGCAAAAGCAGCUCAUUUCUGAUAUAAGUGGAGGCUUAUGUGAAGUGUCUAGUGUCGAUCACGGAAUCAGUAUCCUUAAAUCUCGAUGUAGAAGUAAGAAAGUACUCAUUCUUCUUGAUGACGUGGAUGAUAAUACUCACCUGAAUGCUUUGGUCGAAGACGGUAGUUGGUUUAAAGCUGGAAGUAUGAUCAUCAUCACUACUAGAGACGAGAGUAUUCUUGACAAGGCUGGGGUAAGACCACAAGUAUCAACUCAAUGGGUUGCUUUCAGAGCAAUCAUGUUUAUUUAGCAGACAUGCAUUUCGAACGGAUUNNNNNNNNNNNNNNNNNNNNNNNNNNNNNNNNNNNNNNNNNNNNNNNNNNNNNNNNNNNNNNNNNNNNNNNNNNNNNNNNNNNNNNNNNNNNNNNNNNNNUUACAGGGUUAUCUCUCGUGAUAUCGUAUCUACUACUGGGGGGCUUCCUUUAGCUCUUGAAGUUAUUGGUUCAUUCUUAUGUGGAAAGAAAAAAGAAGCAUGGAAAGCUACAUCAAAAAAAUUAGAGAAAGUGCCUCAUAAGAAAGUGCAAGAGAAGUUGAUAAUAAGUUAUGACGCAUUAGAUUUUGAGGACCAGCAGAUUUUUUUGGAUAUUGCAUGUUUUUUUGUUGGAUCAUCUAAACAAAAUCCAACUUACAUGUGGGAUGCCUGUGGUUUUUUCCCGGGAAAGGGGAUUGAAGUAUUGAAUCUUAUGUCCCUAAUUAAAAUUACUGAUGAUGGCGAGCUAAUGAUGCAUGAUCAGCUGAGAGAUCUUGGAAGGGAAAUUGUUCGUCAAGAAAAUCUAAAGAAGCCUCAAAAGCGUAGCAGAUUGUGGGAAUAUGAGGAUGGCGUGGACGUGCUUCUCAGUAACAAGGUAAGAGUUUUUCUCUGCUUGUCUUAAUCAACGAAUGUGAGCCCAUCUUCUCUUUCUUGUUUAAAAUAAUAAUUAUAGUCAAUCAUGAGUCCCCAAAACUGGCUGCGUCUACUGGCAAGAGGGCUCUUUUAAUUAAUUGCUCUUCUUGUCAGACUUUAGGACAAAAUUGAAGAGCAAUUUCUUGGUUAUUAGUAACUAAUAUUUUUAACUAGUAAGAUUGUGAUGAGGAUACUCUCCUUUUGCUAGCUUCAAGAAAAAACAAAGCUACAAAUUAAUGUUCGAUAGAGCACUUUUAAAGAAAAUCGAAUAUCUAUAAAUUGUUGGGGCCAUGCUUUCCCACAUUUUUGUUUGGUGCACAGGUUGAUGUUUGGAUUCUUAUAUUGAUUUCUUUUAAGGUAUUUUCUUUCUUUUUUCUUUUAACAAGUACCGACUUCUUAAGAGUUUGCUACGAUGAAUGAGACCAUUCAUUAAUGAUGAUUAGCUACCCGAUUCUUGAAUUUUUCAAGUUGGGUAAAGUAUAGAUUUAGUCCCUCAAGUAAUACUAUUUGUAAGAUUUAAUCCCCUUUCUAUUUUUUUGCUCAAUAUCAUUCUCCAUCUUUCAUAGUUUGUGCGAUCAAGUCCUUUGUAGUCAACCGUUAAUGAACAUGGUCAAUUUGUUGAUGUGACUUUCAUAAACUAUAAAUAAGUAUGGUUAUAAUUAAUAUAAAUCCUAGUUAUAAUUAGAAAUCUAACAUUGAUAGAGUGACUUGGAAAAAAAGACAUGAAUUUUGGGAAUAACUAUUACUGCGAGUAAAUAUUGUAAUAGACUAUAAUAGCCAUUACGGUAAUGAAACGUGCUCUAGUAAUCUAAAUGCAUGUAAUAAUACAUUGCUACAUAAUGUCUAUGUAACUAAGGGUUAGUAUAUGUGUACAACUAAACGGUAUAUAUUAUGCAGUAAGAUCUUUAGUUCAAAGUAAGACGUUAGGAAAAAAAAGUAGAAAUUUUCCAAUAAACAGGAUUAAUAAGCAAUAAAUACUUUACUUAGAUUUUUAACACUCAAAAUACUUCAAGCUUUUGCUUCGUACUCUAAUCUUAAUAUCUCGAUCUUCUCUAUUAGUCUCAAACUUGACCAAUUUGCAAUAAUUAGAGGUGGUCAAGGACUUACACUGAUGAUCUAAAUUGCAAUACUAAAGACAUCUAGAAUCGACUUAUAGCAAACUCCAUCAAAUACAAAUAGAAUGCUCUAUCACUUUGAUCCAUAUCUCUCUAGCUCUUCCCAUUUAAUGUCUUCCGGUUGGUUUGAGGAAUGAACUGGACACAUGUCAAAUGGUUGGUGAAAUAAUUGGUGACUAAGCAAAAAUUCCCAUAACAAACUCAUGCAACUCACCAUCUCACAUUCUUCUUCUGAUUUGUGCAUUUUUUUUUUCUUUUUUCUCUCUUUUUAAAGCUCCUUCACAAAAGUUAGUCUAACCAUAUUGAGUUUAUCACAAUAUUCACAUUCUACUUAAUCCUUGAAAAUACGAGUUAUUACCUUACAGUAGACUUCUGCUACUAUUACAAUCUACAACACUUGAAAAAUAGAGAAUCUAAAUAUUCUUUUCUUGCAUUAUAAAGGAGAUAUUAUAUAAAGAAGUUAUCGCCAAAAAAAAGAGAGUAAAAGAGGUUGCAUAAAGAAGUAUGUGUUAUUAAGAAAUAAAAAUAAAGAAGUGGAAAGACAAAGGGAAGUAACUAAGGAAUACUAAUAGAUAGUAAAAUAAUGUAUCAAAGAGGACGCACUAUAGAUGUUCAUUCAAUUAGUAUAUUAUAAAUAAUUAGUAUAUUGUGCUAAUUAGUAUAUUAUAAAUAAUUUUCAACAUAAUAAGUGAUAAUGAGUUAUCAAGAUAACAUAAUCACUAUUUCAUCAAUUAUUUACCUUUUUUUUUUUUCAUAUUUUCUAUGUCAAUGAUAUAAUAAGUGAUCAAGAUAACAAAUAUUCAUGAUCUUGACAAUUUCAUGGAAGAAUAGUUAUUACGAUAUCUCUGUAUACAUAUACAUAUCUGAAAAUUAAUUCCCAAGUCACAAUUUCUAUGAAAAGUGUUUAAAAGAAUUUUGAGAGGUGAAAUUGUGGAUUUGUUUACAACAUUAUAAUAUAUAUUGGCAAUGAUAUAUUUUAACAAUACUUUUAUAAUUUUAUUUGAGAGCUAUGUAUUCUCAACAAAAUAUAUAUUAAUAAAGAUAUGUUCUCAAUACCAUAAUUAUAAAAUUUUUAAUGUUGAAGUAUUAUCUAAACUAAAAUUUUUAACAUGAUACUUGUUAAACUUGAAAGUUAAAUAUUUCAACCAUACAUACAUGACCUUUUUCUUUAUAUAGAGGAUGAGUGAUGAAGUGACUUUUCAGUUACAACAUUUUUAAAUAUUUAUAGAAGAAUGAUAAUUAGCAAUAUAACUAAACAAUUUCACAAAUGUAUGCUGGCAUAGAAGUGAUAUUAACAUAAUAUAAUUAUUCUUCAUGUCCAAUCUAUCUCUUAGCAAGAUCUCAUUAAUUUAUGGGCAAAAUUGAUCAUAAAAUCAGAUGAAUGUUAUUUCUUUGUAACAAAAUCAACAUGAAAUGAAAAGUUAGCAUCAAACAUAUAUAGUAAUAAAAAGAGAAGUGAAAAUCAUGCAUAUAACUUGUUGAAGAAACACAUAAUAAGAAAGGAAUGUAAAACAUGUGCGUACUUCUUGGGAUGGAAUUCUCAUUUUAAUUUUGCUAUCGAGAAUUGUAAACAAGGUACGAAAGAAAAAGAGGGGAAUUCUACAAUUGGGAUUCUUUAGUAUUGAUACAUGCUUUGACGGUAAAUUUGAUAUAUGCAUUUGAAGUUUUGAAUUGUAAGAGACAUGUUGUUUCACAUAUAAAGGAUAUGAGUUAGUUUGUUAUUUCCCAUAUAAAGGGCACGGAAUUUUGAAGUGAUGUUUGCAUGAAAAGAGGCUUUCUAUAUUAAUUUUGAAAGGAUGGGACUUUGGGGAAUUUAAAAGCGCUACAAAUUGUGAAGGGCAUAAUUGGAAGAGGAAAAGUUUGGGAAGACCCUCUAGAGGUUCACAUUUUUACACUGAUUACCACAACCUGUCAUGUCAUUAAGUCGAAAAAGAGAAGCUUGAAUCAUGAUAGUAUGACAACAAAUUUGAAAUCAAUACAUUUUUUCUCAUAUAUAGUUGCUUUCAACCCAUUAUUCAAAACAAUGAUUUACAAUUUUGCCUAAUUGCAGGGCACUAGUAAAAUUGAGGCCCUUCGUCUUGACGUAGAUAAUGGGAGAGAAAGUUACACGGCUGAAACAUUUAAAGAAUUGACCAAAUUGAGGAUACUUCAACUGGAAGGUGUGAAUCUCACUGGACAUUUUCAAUACUUGUUUCCUCAACUAAGAUUGCUUGAGUGGAUGGAUCAUCAACCGGAUUUUGAAUUGACCAACUUUCACCUGAAGAAAUUAGUCGUGCUCGAUUUGUCGUGGAGCAACAUUUCGGAGAACUGGGGAGGAUGGAGUCAACUAAAGGUAAAAUGUAGAGAAGGCAUAUCUCUUAUAAAUAAUCACGUGUUGUCAAUGGGCCCAAUUGCACCAAGUUAUCCUUUAUUUCUUCUAAAAAUAUAUAUUAUGGAUUUUCUUCUAAGCAUAAGAGGAAUUUAUAGGCACCUAAAUAUGUCAAAAGCUUCUACCCCUUAAUAUUUUAGCAAACUAGUCAUGCUUAACAUCAGACCUACUAAUAAAAAAAAUUUUAAUCGUAUUAAUUAACAUCUAUCAAAAAUAUAAUUACAAUAAUGUUCCCAUGUCAAUUUUAAUCUAAAUGGUUUAUGGCUUCUAGUUAAUUUCUCCCCAUGCAAAAGUAUGUCUUUUUAGCAAUUCUUGCUAUAUGUAUGUAUGUAUCUUCUUUCAUGGUGAUGCAAAGACCCUCACAGUGACUUGUGUUUUAUAUACAUACUAAAAUUCUAAAUCCAUUGUUACUUUUAAAGUAAUGGAAGUAAUUUGUGAACUACUUUGACUUGUUGCGCACAAUAAUUAUUCUUUAGUAUUGUUGAUUGUUGAAGUCACUGUACAACACAUUUAUAAAGUAGUAAUGUCAUAUGAGUAAUACAACACUUUUUUAUGUCUUGUACAUAUAGCAUUUAAAAAUUGUUUUUCAUAAUUAAAGUAGCCAUUUCUCUUUAAUUUCAUAUUAAUUGAAGGAAAACAUGGCACCAAAUGAAUGCAUCUCAUUUCUUCCACUUGACUUUGUCAUAUAUAAUUUGAUAAUAAAAUUUGUGUAUCUCUAUUCAAUAAAUAACAACAUAGUCAUAACUUUGAAAAGCUAAACAUGACAUUUUCUAAGAAAUUUUAUUUGCGAAAAAUUGUAGAUAGCACUCAUACAUCCCUAACAUUCUCUUCGCAAUGAUAUGCUUAAAAACAUUUAUAUGCUAGCUUCGUGAAUACACUAUUGAAAAGAAACAUUUAAAAUUAAAUAAAAUAGCUGUGUAAGAGUAGGGAGAAUGGGAUUUUUUUUUUGUCCAAUCUCAAAGUGGUAACCUCUUUCUUUCAGAUAGCAACCGAGCUCAAGGUUCUCAACCUUACGCGUUGUGCUUUGGGAACAACUCCCGACUUGUCCGCUUUCAAGAGUUUGGAGAUUUUGAUACUUAAAGCUUGUGGGAAUCUACAAGAGAUUCAUCCUUCUAUUGAGGACAUCGAGACCCUUGUCUCCUUGAAUGUCAGUGAAUGUUGGCAGCUGAAGGAGCUACCACUAGGAGUAGGUAGAAUGGAAAAUUUGAGCAAGCUUCUCAUAAAUAACACUAAUAUACGAGAGAUUCCUAUUUCAAGAGGUUGUUUGACAAAGUUGGAGACUCUACAUGCCUCAGCUUGUAGACGGCUUGCUCAACUUCCAGAAUCCUGGGGCUCCCUUAUGUCGUUAACUCAACUAGACCUAAAAAGAACAGAAAUUGAAAAAUUACCCGAAUCCAUUGGAUCAUUAAAGAAGCUCAAGACUUUAAAUAUCUCUAAUUGUGCAUCGUUAACCUGCUUACCCAACUCAAUAGGUGAUUUAGCAUCUCUAUGUUGCCUUGACCUAAGAGAUUGCCAAAAGCUUGCUCAACUUCCAGACUCCAUAGGCUCUCUCGUGUCUCUAUCGCAAUUGUUGUUGUCAAAAUGCCACUCGUUGAGACAAAUCUUAGGUUCGAUUGAAAAGUUGACAUCAUUGACUGAGCUGCAUUUGCAAUCUACGGCCAUUGAAAAAUUACCUGAAUCCAUUGGUUUUUGCAAGGAGCUCAAGACUCUAGAUGCCUCUUGUUGCAAAUCGUUAGCCUGCAUACCCAACUCAAUAGGCAAUUCAACAUUUCUAUCUUGCCUUGACCUAACAGGAUGUCAUAAACUUGCUCAACUUCCAGACUCUAUAGGCUCCCUCGUGUCUCUACAGCGGUUGUUAUUGUCGGGAUGCUACUCGUUGAGACAAAUCCCAGACUCGAUUGGAAAGUUGACAUCAUUGACAGAGGUGCAUUUGAAAUCUACGGCCAUUGAAGAAUUACCUGAAUUAAUUGGUUCUUUGAAGGAGCUCAAGACUCUAGAUGCCUCUCAUUGCAAAUCGUUAGCCUGCAUACCCAAUUCAAUAGGCAAUUCAACAUCUCUGUCUUGUCUUGACCUAACAGAAUGCCAUAAACUUGCUCAACUUCCAGACACUAUAGGCUCCCUCGUGUCUCUACAGCGGUUGUUAUUGUCGGGAUGCCACUCGUUGAGACAAAUCCCAGACUCGAUUGGAAAGUUGACAUCAUUGACAGAGGUGCAUUUGAAAUCUACGGCCAUUGAAGAAUUACCUGAAUUAAUUGGUUCUUUGAAGGAGCUCAAGACUCUAGAUGCCUCUCAUUGCAAAUCGUUAGCCUGCAUACCCAAUUCAAUAGGCAAUUCAACAUCUUUGU
Molecule: long non-coding RNA, 60234 nt
Filed under: Eucalyptus grandis
Lineage: Eukaryota; Viridiplantae; Streptophyta; Magnoliopsida; Myrtales; Myrtaceae
Description: long non-coding RNA (EGRA_LNC001431)
Source: RNAcentral